UAAUCACUUAUCACUUGUCCCUGAUCAGAUAAGUGUAGCAAAGCUACCACUUAUCACUUGCCACUUGUCACUGAUCAGAUAAGUGUAGCUGAAGCUACCACUUAUCACUUGUCACUGAUCAGAUAAGUGUAGCUGAAGCUAUCACUUAUCACUUAUCACUUGCCACUGAUCAGAUAAGUGUAGCUGAAACUACUACUUAUCACUUGUCACUGAUCAGAAAUACUCAAAUCCAGCGUUCCGCUCAAUUUGAUCAUUUAUUCAGUUUUCGCAAUUUUAUUUUAUUCUCAUUUCAACAAUAAAUAUAUUUCAUCAUACAUUAUAUAAUUCAUGAAAUUAACAUUUAAUCAUUAAAUUUCAGCCAUAUAAACUUACCUGGGUCGAUUUGCAGAAUUUGUAAAAGUUCAGGGACUAAUCAGCUACUUUUUCUUUUCCUCAGCUUGCUUCGGGUUCUCGAUCUAUCAUUGUAAAAUCAUUCACUUAUCAGUAUUGAUUUCACAUUCACUCUAUUUCACAUCCUUAAUGUUUAUAAUCCGCUUAUAAGUAACAUUAUCUAUAAUUUCACUAUUUACUCACGACACCAAAAUAGGCUUUUAGCGGCACUUUUUUAGGCCUUUAGCGGCGUUUUUUGAAAUAAACGCCGCUAAAGGUCAGGGUCUUUAGCGGCAUUUUUGGAAAAGCGCCGCUAAAGACCAUGACCUAUAGCGACGCUUCUCUAACAAACGCCGCUAAAGACAUUAACCUUUAGCAGCGCUUUUCCCACAAACGCCGCCAUAGCUCAUGAGCUUUAGCGGCGCUUUUUCCACAAACGUCGCUAUAGCUCUAUACCUUUAGCGGCACUUUUCCCACAAACGCCGCUAUAACUCGAUAACGGCGCUUCUCAUAAACGCCACUAAAAAUAUAACAUUUAAAAAAAUUAUUUUAAUCAAAUAAUAUUUAUUUUUAUGAUAAAUAUUAUAUUAUGUUUUAUUUUUUAAAUUUAAACUUUAAAUAUACUUUAAGGAUAAAAAAUAUUAUUUAAAUUAAAUUUUCUAUGAAAAUUUUAACUUUAAAACUAAAUAUAAAAAUUAAUGAAUUUAGUUUUAGAAUUUAAAAUAAUAAAUUAAUAACACAAUUAAAAUCCAAAAGUUAAAAAAGUUGUCGUAAAUAUUAAAGUAAAAAAAAUUUAGAAUCAAAACUAAAAUAAAUAAUACAUAUGAGAAAUAGACUGACUAGUUGAACUUGCCAAUAACUAUACACAUUGAAAGGUAAUAAAAAAUACAAUACAUUUUCUUAAUCAAGUAAAUCUUGGUAAUAAAAAAUACAAUGCAAACUACAUCUGCUACAUUCCUGGUUAUCCAAUCUUCAUAUACCCUUCAGAAUUGGGAAAAUAAUUAUAGUGCAUUAAAACAAAAAUUGAUAUUGACAAGUUAAAUAUGAAUGGGAAAUAACAUGAAUGCAAAAAUUAAUACUCGAGGAAAUUGACAACUUAGCUAUCUCAACCAUGGAAAUGAAUUAGAUAUUGAAUAAGAGAGAUUACAGCAAUGAAACCAAUGAAUUCCUAGUUUACAUAUGUAUGUGCCACUGGACUUGUUAAGUGAAGAAUGAGAACCAAAUUUUUUUCAAUGACUACAGGACAUAAAGACCAAAAGCAUCAAAAGUUUCCAAACAUGAAACAACUAAUCUAUUAAGCAAGUCAGAAAAUCAACGACCUUAUUGUUUUAGCUAAUAGUGGAACAAGGAGACAAUUGAGAUCAAUUGAGACUAACCUCGGCUGAGAUGCAGAAGUUUCACGACAAUCAGAAAAGAUCACCUUGAUAUACUUAUAAUCUUCGCACCAUAAAUAAUCAAAGUAAUAAUCAUCGAUAUUAUUCACCUUGUUGCCUGACCUCACAUAAUAAUCAAAAUAAAUUUUAAAACAGCUCAGAAAUUUUAAAUAGAUUACAUCAACAUAUAUUGAGCAUAGCAACCUUCUAAAGAGAAAAUCAAACAAAUCAACUAAACGAACAUAGAAAAAUUGAUGCUUCAAACCAAAACACCAGAAUUUAAUAGACAUUAGCAUUAGUCUGCAAAUCUAUCAGGUAAAGACAUUAGCACAAUUUAAUAGAACUUUAAUCUAAAAAGUAAGUACAUAAAUAUUCUCUAGUCUUAUUUCAUAAUAUACCCAAAUAUAACACCAUUCCAAAGCAUAAUGUUGUUAUCUUGAGGUGCACCACUAAUUCCUGCACAAAAUAAAUGAUAAAAAAGGCCACAGUUCUUUAGCAUAAACAGCAAACAAAUUAGAUGAAAUACAAGAAUGCUUAGAUGGCAAAUUACAGAGACUAUAGCACAUUUAUUUAUUUAAUCUCACAAAUAAUUUUAUUUAACCGAUGGAUUUGAAAGGUAAUUUUUUCGGGGGAAAUAGUUAGUACAAUUUUAAACUUGAAAUUAGUACAAUUUUAAACUGGGAGAAAUACAAGAAUGCUUAGACCUAACAUAAAGAAUAGUUAGUACAAUUUUAAACUUGAAAUUAGAAAGAUGAAUAAAAACUCCUGUAAAAAAUAAGAACUCUUCAAAAUAAGCAAAUAUUUUUCCUUCUCUUUGCUAAAAUAAGUCAUGGGAAUGGUUAAAUAUUACCAAUUGAAUUAGUUUAUUGCUAACUUAUAUACUAAAACAUGCAUAAAAAAUAAUACUCCCACCAAAUGUAGCAUAAAUAUUUUAAUUUUAUCUUCAUAACUUCCUUGAUAAAAUAAUUCCAUUUCCAAAUGAUUUGAGUUUGAUGAUUUAAAUUCUUACCAGCAGCACCAAAUGCCUCGUGAAUCUCCAAGUGCAAGAAAUGAACGAUAUCUACAAGCUUCUCCAUGACCUAUGAAUACAAGGCAUAAAACUUCUACUGAUAUAUAUCAACUAACUUCAAAAUCAAGCAGCAAAAGACACUUGUAACAUUAUGUGCAAAAGCUCGCAUACCUUUAGACUUGGAGUUCACCGCAAAAGAUAAAAAGAACACCACAUUUUUUUUUGAAGUUCAUCAUAAGUAUAUGAAAAAUGAUAUAACAAAAAAAAAUUCAUAGAGCUUUACUAGUACCUCUUCCAAAAUUCUAGACCAAAGAGAUUUUUUCUUCAAAUUUUUCACAUGCUUAUUUUGACUCUUUAACUCUGCUCUCAAUAUUGCAAGGUUGUCUCUUAGAUAACAUCAACUAUAUUACAUAUAAAUUCAAAGGAAACAACAAUCGGAUACACAGAAAACUUCACAGCAACUUUGCAAACAAAACCAAUAUUUAAUAUUUCUAAGUGUUUUCCCCUCAAUAUGAACAGGAAUAUAGAUAUUUAGCUGAAGGGAGCUGCUCACAUCUUGUGCAAACUUCAUGGGCAAUGACGGGUCUGAUUCAUGGAGGACAGGUAGGGUUAUGGGAAAUAAAUUAUGCUGAUAUUAGUGGUUAAAGAAACAUGAUACCAACCCUUAAACAUAAGAAAUUCAAAGCAAACCUCAAUUCCUGCUCUGUAUGUUUCUUUCUAACUAGGCUGAUGUCGAUCCGGAACCUUUACAUAAAGCAGCAAGACUACUGAUUAACUCACAAAUGGAAAGUGGUGAAUUUCCUCAACAGGUAUCUCAGACAUAAAUCAGAUCCUUCUAGCAAAUUAAUGCAUCCAUUGCCAAAAGAUUUGGCGUCCUUUCUUAUCUAAAUGAUCAAUAUCUAAAUCAAACAUUAAUUAAUAGUACUUUUCCCUAAACUACAAUAUUGGUUUUCACAGGAACUUACAGGGAUCUGUUUGAGGACUUGUAUGAUACAUUAUGCUGCAUAUAGAAAUAUAUUCCCAUUAUGGGCUCUAGGCGAAUAUCGAAGGUAUGUGCUCUUGCCUUCAUAAGUGAUAUAGGUUCUCACAGGAUCUAGGAAUUAUUAGUACCGUUAAUUGAUGCUUACUUAGUAUUUUUUCUCUAAUCAAAUCAAAAAGUUUUCAGCCCUUUCGGUGUUGUAUAUAUGAUUCCUCCAAUAAACUUGUAAACAUUAUGCUGAUCUCAGUAACUCGGGCUUAUUUAAGGGGUAUAAGAAAGAAACAAAGUGAGCAGAUAUUGUAAAAGGAAAUACCAUAUUCAAGGUGUAAAACUCGCAGACAAAUGAAAAUAUAUGCAUGGUUCAAUUGACUUGUUUUCAGCUUUUACUCUUGAUGACUCCUUUGAUACGGAUUAUAAAUCCACAACAUAGAUUUAAUUCCAAGUUACAGUUCAUUACUACCAAAAACAACAAUGAAUUCAAUCCUAUUGCAUGAGAACUCAAAAAUUGACCCGGAAUUAUGGUAGAAAUUUGAUUCGACAACAUGACUCAUCCUCAUGAAUCUGCCAUAUUGUUAUCAGACACCUUUGCUAUUGCCAGACUGGAUUGGUUUCCAUCUCUCUGGACUUCGUGCAACCAGCAUAUUCUCAAUCUGCUUUUGCAACUCUGCUCUUCUUUGGUGAUUUGAAGCUAAGGUUUUUGCUAAACUCUCUUUCAUAGCCAACAGUUCAGCCCUUUUCAUCUCUGCCUCAGCUAUCUCAGAACUACUCUAUAACCAUUGUUGCCUGAAAGUUCCAUAAAAGUUAACUUCAGCUGCAAGAAACAUCGGUUAAAAUUGACAAAUUCCAUGAAACCAAGAUAGGAGAUCGAAUGUAUACAUUGCUCAAUUUGAUCAAUUAAAAAUGAGAUUAUAUUUGUAACUUCAACAAACUUCUUAGUAGUUCAAAUUUAAGAUUCUUAAUUUGAAAGUCUCAAAUUCAAACAUUUCAAUUUACCUCGUUUACACUGUUCCUCAAUUCUUGCAUUCGAGUUCGAGUUUCCGUCAAAAACCUCUUUACAUUCUCUCCAAACUCAUUCAUUUCUGAAAUUUUCAAUUCGUAAAACGUAUCUCUCUCCUUCUCCACCUCUUCAAGCUCCUCAAUCUCACUUUUCACAGCCCUAAGUUUCAACGCAAUGCAUUUCAGUUCAAAAUUUAAACUAUAAAUCUACACCGCUAAACACAUAAAAAAAUUUACUUCAAUUUUUGAGAACUAGAAUCAUAUUUGGUGUCGAGAUUUUCGAUAUCAGAUUUGAGAGCAGAGAUUCUAAAGUUUUGUGAUGCGAUCUUUUGAUCAAGAAACAAGCAACUUCGUUCCAUGGAACCAAUACGAGCCAGCUUCGAUUCUAAAACCUGAGAUUUGUGCGCUUGCAGCUCUUUCUCCGCCUGUGUAUUAACAAGAAGAGACACAAAAUUACGACUUUCUGGCUUUGAUUUUACCGGGAACCAAACAAAAAAAAAAGUGAAGUUUAGAUUUUACCAAGAGGAGCAUUAGACGUUGGUUUCUAGAAUGUUCCAUGUGUUCUAGUCUUUCUCGAAACGCAUAGGAAAUAUUGUAUUCAUCAAAAGGAAAAAUUAUAUACUACCUGCUGUUGAAGAUCUGGAACAAAAUCCGACUUAGCAUCUCUUAUCAGACAUUUUCAAAGAGGGUACAGACUACUGAUAUUUUCAAAGAAGAGGGCCCAUUGAAAGGCUCGCUUGAUGUUAUCAAAGUCCUAGUGAGCGGGAAGACCAGAGGAUUGAUACCCAGAAGACAAAACCAGGAUAUCAACAAACCCUUCUAUCAGUUUCAUCAUUUCUUCCAGCGAUAUGUCUGGGUGAUUCCAUCCCAUCUUCUGGUUUUCUUCCUUGAAGUCUGUUGUUGGAAAUGGGAAAUUUGGGGGAUUUCAGCUGAAGAAAAACAAACUUUAUUUGGGGGAUUUAGGGCGCACGACUGAGAUGAGAAGAAGAGGGAGUAAUGAGCGGGUAACCAAAAUUUUUUUUUUGGAAGUGAGCGGGAUUUUGAUUACCUUUUAUUUGCUUCCAUAUUUGCGGCAUUUUAAAGAAAAACGCCACUACUUAAGUUGAAAUGACACCGUUUUGAGAAAUUGCAAUACAUAUUUGCGGCGUUUUUUAUCAAAACGCCGGUAAUGUCUACCUUUUGCGGCGUUUUUCUUAAAAACGCUACUAAGAAAUUUAAAUUUCUCUAUUGAAACGGCACCGUUUUGGGAAAUUUUAAUACAUAGUAGUGGCGUUUUUUGCUAAAAAUGCCGCUAAAACUCGCAUAUUUUUUAUAUUCAAUUAUUGUAUCUUUCAUAUAAAUUUUACAUAAAGAAUUAUUAAAAUUUUAAGUAAUGUUUAAAAGAAUCAGAAAAAUUAUAAAUUUUAGUUUUUUUAUUUCAUUUUUAUUUUUGUAUUUUAUUUUUUUCUUAUAAUUUGGUCCUAUCCAAAUUAAAUAAUUACCUAUAUAUCCAUAUCAAAUAUAUCAAAUGGUUUAGGUUAAAUAUUUUUAAAUAUAAAAGCAUUAAUUAAUUGUAUAAAUUUGUAUCAUUUAAUAAAUCUCAAAUGAACCUUAAACCCUAAAUUAACCAUUCAGUAUACAUAAAGUCUAUUUAUUAUUUAUCUCUUAAAUAAUAUAAACUAUACCCAUAAUUCCAAUAUAUUAAAUUUAUUAUUAUAUCUUUUACAAUUAUAUAAGAACAUAUUUAAUAUAUAAAUUAAAAAAACUAAUUAAUCUAAACUCUAAACAUUAACCCGACCCUUGAAACCUUAAAUCCCUAAUUAAUCUAACUUCUAGCCCCUAACCCCUAACUCUUAACCCCUAACUUCUAACCCCUAAACCAUAAUCUCCAUUUUAUUAGAGAUAUUUCUUCCUAACUAAAAUAUAAUUAUUUUGCUAGAUGUUCGAUGUGGAAUGAUUUUAGUUUUUGUAUUUUAUUUUUAUUUGUUAUAAUUUGGUCCUAUAUAUCCAAAAUAGAUAGUUACCUAUCCGUAUCAAUUUUUUACUUUUUUAUUAAUUUUUUUAAAUCUAAUAUUUAAAUAUAUCAAAUGGUUUAGAUUAAAUAUUUUUUAGUGAUAAACACCGCUAAUGUUACCUUUUCCGGCGUUUACAGAGGAAACGCCACUAAUAAAUUAAAUUCUUGUAAUGAAACGACACCGUUUUAAAAAAUUCUAAUACAUAUUAGCGGCGUUUUUGCUAUAAACGCCGCCAAAGCUCGCAUAUUUUAUAAUUUUUUAUAUUCAAUUAUUGUGUAUUGCAUAUCAAUUUUAAUUUAAUAAUCUUUACAAUUUAUUAUAUAAUAACUUAUUUAAUAUAUAAAUUAAAAAAUAAUAAUUAAUCUAAAGCUUAAACCCUAACCAGACCCCAAAUCUCUAAACCAUGAAUCACUGACUCUUAACCCCAGACCCCUGACAACUAACCCCUAAACCUUAUUUAAUAUAUAAAUUAAAAAACGCUAAUUAAUCUAAAUCCUAAACCCUAACCCGACCCCGAAUCUCUAACCCCUAAACAUUAUUUAAUAUAUAAAUUAAAAUACACUAAUUAAUCUAAACCCUAAAUCAUAACCUGUCGCUGAAUCCAUAAACCUUAAACCCCUAACUCAUAACCUCUAACCCUUAACCCCUAACCCCUAACCCAUAAACCUUAAAUCACAACCCUUAAAUCAGAACCCCUAAUCCAUAAUCCAUAAUUCCAUAAUCUAUAAACCUUAAAAUUGUAACACUUAAACCGGCCCUAAAUCUUAAAUUAGCCAUAUAUAUACCCUAAACCAUAUAUAUUAAACCCUAAACUAUAAUGAUAAUUAAAUUAAAUAUUUUAAAAUUAAUACUAUUGUAUCUUUUGCAAUUAUAUUUGAAAUUAUUUAAUAUAUAAAUUAAAAAUCAAUCAAUUAUGUAGCCAAAAAAUUUUAAAAUUAUUUUAAAUAAUAGUAUUUUAAUUUCUCCAUUUUUAACAAAUAUUUUUCUAAGUUUUUUAUUUCAAAUUAUUUCUACGUGUCGUUAUUUCAAAUUUAUCCAUUUUUAACAAAUUUUCAAUUAAAAAUAAAUUGAAUUUUAAUUAAUAUAAAUAAACAAAUUAAAUAGUGUCAUUAUUUCAAAUUUAUCUAUUUUUAACAAAUAUUAAAUUAAAAAUAAAUUGAAUUUUAAUUAAUAUAAAUAAAUAAAUUAAAUAGUAAAUAGACAGACAAAAUGUUCUUGCGGCGCUUUUCCAAAAACGCCGCUAAAGAACUGAGUAUUAGCGGCGCUGUUACAAAAACGCCGCUAAAGAACUGAGCAUUAGCGGUGCUUAUCCAAAAACGCCACUAAAGAUUUGAGCAUUAGCGGCGCUUCUCCAUAAACGUCGCUAAAGAUCUGAGCAUUAGCGGCGCUUUUCCAAAAACGCCGCUAAAAAUCUAAGCAUUAGCAGCGCUUUUUUAAAAAACGCCGCUAAAGCUCGAAAGGCAUAAAAUGAUGCCGUUGAGCUUUGGGUUUUUUGCGGCAUUUUUCCAAAAAUCGCCGCUAAUGCUCAUUUUUAGCGGCGUUUUUGAAAAAGCGCAGCUAAUGCUCGAUCUUUAGCGGCGUUUUACGUAAAGCGCCGCUAAUGCUUGAUUUUUAGGGGCGUUUUUUGUCCAAACGCCGCUAAAAAUGCCGCUAAAAGUCUGUUUUGGUGUAGUGACUUAUGUAUAUUCAAUGUUGUCCAUCCGUGUCAUAGUCACUAAAUUAUUUUUAUCUUGAACUACAGAACUGCAAUCAGAAUCCGCAAAUUUUUCCUGAAACUAGACUCGCAUAUCUUCUUACCAUAAAAUUUUCAGAAUUUUUGGUUUAGCCAAUAAGUACAAUUUAUUCUUUAAAGUCACCCAUGUUCUGCUGUCUGACAGUUCCGACCCUUCUUCACUAAAAAUAAAUUAUCUCCUCGUACGGGAUUCGAAUGAUGUUCCCGUUUGUUUUUCUUGAAAAUAGACUCAUUCAAGAUUUUAAAUAUAUUAAUUUAAUUCCCUAAUUAUUUUUAUUAAAUUUUUGAUGAUUUUCCAAAGUCAGAACAGGGGAACCCGAAAUCAUUCUGAUAUUGUCUCACAAAAUUUAUUAUAUCUCAUGAUUUACAACUUUAUUGCUUACACCGUUUCUUCUUUGAGAAACUACAAUUUUAUUGCUUACACCGUUUCUUCUUUGAGAAACUAAACUCAAUAAGCUUUAAUUUCAUAUUUUAUUCAUCCUCUAAUUCAAUUCCCACAAUUUUUGGUGAUUUUUCAAAGUUAGACUACUGCUGCUGUCCAAAACUGCUUUAGUGAAAAAUGUUGAUUUCCAUUUUGCCCCAAAUUUCACAGUUUAUACAAUUCAGUCCUUUCUCAAUUAACCCCUCAAUUGAUCUAAUUUUUCUCAAUUAACACCUUUUCCAACUAUUUUAAACUACCAUAUGGCCUUUGAUUUUCAAAACGGCAACACCAAACCCUAAUUCUAAACUUUUUCACAAUUAGGUCCCUAAAAUCAAUUUCUAUCAAAAUCACUUAAUAAAAUCAUCUUAUAAUAAAAUUAAAGCUUUAAUUCCAUUUUCAUUCAUCAUAAAAAUUCAGCACUCAUCAACGGUAACUCUCAAAAUCAGCCAUGAAAUCAAAAACUAAUGAAAUAAUUAGUUGGACCUAAUUGUAAAAGUAUCAAAAUCACAAAAAUUAUAAGAAAUAAUCAAGAAUUAAACUUACAUUAUUCAAAUAUAUGAAAAACCAGCUUGGAGGGACUCUUAUAUGGCGUUUUUGGCUGAGAAAUAUGAAGAAUUACCUAGAAACUCUUUUAAUCAAGAUUUUUAUUUGUUAAUUUUUAUAAAAUUUCCAAUUUUUCCCUUAUUACAUCACUUUUUCAGAUUUUUCUUCUGUUAUGCCAUCUUAACUAUCCCAUAUUGGCAUAUUUAUGCCUUAAGUCCUUUCUUAUUUAUCACUUAAGCUAUUUAAUCACUUUUAACAAAAUUUACAUUAUUUUCAGUUCAGUCUUUUUUAAUUAAUUGACCACCCAAACGUUAGAAUUUUCUAAUGAAACUUUAAUACCAACUCAAUGGCACUCUAUAAACAUUUCUAAAAAUAUUUAUGGCUCAGUUUAUGAAUUUGGGAUUUCGAUACCUCAUUUUCGAUUCUAAUUAUUUUAAUAUUUAUUCCUAGUACGCUAUUCACUAUUUCAAAAAAAUUUCCUAACUUCACAUUUAACUUAUACUCACUAAAUUAAUAAUAUUUUCUACUCACUUGUAAGAUUUAGUGAUCUCGAAUCACCGUUUCGACACCACUAAAAAUUCAGGCCAUUACAAAUAAUGUCUUCAACUUAUCACUUAACCAAAACCUCAUUGUAAUAUCCUUUUAUCACUUAACCAAAAUUUAUUGUGCACAUUUUAUUAUCUCUAUCAAUUUUAUAUAUAAACUUCCAUACUAUUAUUCAAACCCUUUAUUGAGUUGGUGUCACGAGUCAACUAAGAACAAAUUCGAUUAGAAAAAUUACAGAAAUAUCCUUUUAUAUUUCUUAAUUAAAUUAAGUUACAUUAUUUGAUGGUACUUUAAUCUUUUAUUUUAUAAAAAAAUCAAUAAAAAUAUGCAUACAAUGGAAUUUAAAUCCAUGUCAAUUGCAUUAAUAAAACUUUAAAUUUACCAUUCAACCAAAACUUCAUUUUAAUAUUUUUUAUGUUGGAUAUGGUGCAAGUAUAGUAUUUUUGUUUAUGCAUGCUUAUAAUUGUUGAACAAGCUGGUUCAAUAAUAAUAACUAUUAAUUACAUUAAUAUUCUUUGUAUAUUGUUCUUAGUUUUUUUGCACGAUAAGCAAAAUAGAAGCCAAUAUUAGCUCACUGGUUAUCUAACAUUUAACUAAUAUUAAGCGGUAUUAUGUGGAUGGAUUGUAAUACCAAAAGACAGCUUGUAUUAAUAGAUGGACCUAAACAUAUCAUUGGGCUAAUUGGAAAUGAGCAAAUUGGUUGAAAAACUAAUAAGUCGUCUAUCAAGUUCAAUUGAUGAGGUGUUUUGUCAUGAUCAUCGAAGCGGAUGACUCUCAAAAGAUAGAGACAUAUAUGUGACUAACUGAACUAACAAUAUAUCAGACAUAACCCAAGUAGUAUAGAUCCUAUAUCCAUUUAUGGAUUUAUUUACUUGGAACGUUCAUAAUGUGACAUCUCAGUAAUUGAAUCUUUAAUUCGUGAUUUGUACACUUUGAUGUAAGUAAAAAUUUGAGUUCAAAUAGAUAAAGAACCGAAAGUUGGUGCGUUGGGUAUAUGACUUUUGUAGUAUGUAGCAUCGUUCUCAAUAAUUGAAUUCAUAACUCAAUUAAUGUGUAAAUGAUAUCCUCUCAUUGUCAUUACGUGAUAGAUGAAAAUUAAACGUAGCCAUGAGACAUUUUUCUUUGUGACAAAUGACUUAAUUAUUAUUUGAUAGUAAUUGAUUUCUCAUGAAAGAAUAUGAAUGAUUACUAUGAGAUAAAAUAAGAUCAUAUUGGGAGAACAUAUUUAUUUCAAAUAGAUUAAUAAUAUCUUAUGAUGGCAACCCACUUAUGACAAGGUCAUUAGAUGAGUAUUGAUUAAGCAAUUUUCAUAAUGGUAUGUAGUUAGGAAAAAUUCAGUCGCGAUACUAUAGUAGAAUGACUUCAUAACUAAAUAAGUGUAUAAUUAAUAAGAGAAAAGUUAAAACUUAAUUAUAAAUUAUUUGAGCCCUGAUUAUAUAUGUCCAAUCAGUCUAUCUGCUAACUCGUUUAAACCAUAAACGAAUUGCAUGUAGAACCAAAUGAUAAAAAAAUGAAUGGAAGUGAUGAAGUUAGAGAAAUGAGUUAAAGUUAACGUUGGAAUAUGGCAACCCUCGAUGGCUAACUGGGUUAAAGUAAACGUUGAUGGUUCAAUGUUAAGAAAUAACCCAAAAGCAUUUGUAAGAGGGGCAAUGAGAGGGCCUAGUGGAGGAUGGUUGGUAGGAUUCAAAAUGGUAUUAGGUAUGAAUGAUAUCUUUUAGAGGCCAAAGCGAUUCUUAAAGGACUAAAAUUGGCUUAGGCUACAGGAUUCAGGUGUGUUGAGUUGGAAAGUGACAAUGCAAUGUUGAUUGAAACUAUUCGUAACGGGUUGGCUACAAUACGUAGUGUUGUUGAAGUCAGACAGAUUCACGAUUGGUGUUCCAAAAAUUGGAAAGUUAAAUUUCGACAUAUUUAGCGAAAUGCCAAUAAAGUUGUUGAUAGCUAAGGCAGAUGGAGGCGUAAUUGAGCAAUUGGUUAUCCUGAAAGAUCCUCCGCAAUAUAUGAUAUGCUGACUUGAAGAAGAUAUUAGACAAUCACUGGUGAUUGAUUAAGACUAUGUUCGCUUAAUAUUCUAAGCUUAUGAUCAACAAAAAGAAAAAAAACUAUUAUUUUAAUAAAAUUUUCACUAAAUUGACAUCAGUAUUUAGUUGAUUGAUGAGACUGUCUCAAUCAACCUGUUUAGUAUGUGGUUAUUUUCUUUACAAAUUUAAAUAAAAAUUGUCAUUAGAUAUGUACGGUACUACGGCUCGAACGUGAACCCAAGAAAGAAUCCGAUAAUAUUUUCCUUAAAGGAGAAAAACCACAAAAGCUAACAAUCAAAGUGAAAUCUGCCCCUCUAGGGUUUCCAACAAAUCAUUCCCAUUAAAUUUCUUUGUUUUCUUUUCUCUGGUUCUUGGCGAUAUGAUCACGCCGCGAAGGAAGGCGUGGUCUCCACUAACUUUAACUCCGCCUACUGAGCCGCAGACGGCGGGGGUUCCGAACACUAGCAGCGGUGGCAUUCGGGGUAAGGGAAAAGCUGUUGCUUUUGCCCAUGAUACUAGGAAACUGCCACCGCCUCCUGUUGCCUCUCUUAGUUGCAAGGGGCCUCUGAAUGUUGAGGUGGAAGAGGAGGACACGGAGGAUUGGAGGCGGUUCAAGGAAGCUGGGUUGUUAGAUGAAGCGGCCUUGGAAAGGCGGGACCACGAGGCCCUUGCCGAAAGGCUCUCCAACCUCGAAGGGGAGGUGAGUCGUCAUUAAUUUUUAUAACUUUUGCUGUUAGUUUAAAUUUCUUAGUUGGAAUCAUCCGCUACAUAACCAAAGUUUUGAAGGGCACUUUUUUUCUCAAAGAAAUUUGAACUUAGAUGUUUAAGUUUGAUCCCAAAUAGGUUGAAGAUUUGUGACAAAACAAUCAAUAUGAAGAAUAUUAAAGUUUACAUGUUUAUAUAUUUUUGUUGAAAUUAAAGUUUGAUUUGGAACUUACUGCUGCUUACAGGAAAAUUCUUUGUCAUAUUUUGUUUGACUAUUUUGCUUUUAAAUCAAUCAAAUGCAUGUAGUUCAGUACUACACUGGCUUUGUACUGGGUUCAUUUGUUUUGGCCUUCAUUGUCUGCUCUUAUUUGGUCGUUUGUGCUUUGCCAUCAUUCGAUCACUCCUCAAGUGGUCUUCUAUUAGGUGCUAACCGUUUUAAUUUUCGUGUGAAUGUUGAAUUUCUUUGUUUCUUCUUUCGCUGUAUAUAUGAAAAGUUGUUUAGUUUUUUGAAUGCGACAUUUAGGUUGCUCCAUUGGGAUCCUGGAGUUUAUGUGUUAAUGUUGUGGAAUCAGUACAUUUUCAAACACACGUUAAGGGUUAUGCAUAUUGAACAUUUCCAUACUUGUGAUGUAGGAGUCUAAUGCCCAGCACUAGGCUUCCCUCUUUAGCAACUCAAACAGUUUAAUCAUGCAACAAUGCUUCAUUGCUGUACUGGUGAAACAUGAAUCUUUCUGUUGAAUUUCAUUUGGCUUCCCUCUUUAGUAAUUCAAAUGAAUGAAAUAGAUCAUUGUGCUUCAUUUAAAUUGGUGAAACAUUAAUCAUUUUUGUUCUUCACUUUAUUAGUUAUUUAGUUGCAUAUUAUUAUUAAAUGCCGUCAUCCCAAGAUUAAGAAUGCUGAUCACCUUGUAUGGUUGGCCUUUGUUCUUUCUGUUGUGGGAUUAUGUUAAGUUCCUGAUUGAAGCUGCACCUAUAAAGUUUGCUAAAUACUUUUUCGUUGCUUGAUGUGUCUAUUUCUGUUUAGCUUUUUAACUACCAGUACAAUAUGGGGCUCCUCCUCAUUGAGAAAAAAGAAUGGACAUUAAAGUGUGAAGAAUUAAAGCAAGAACUUGCUGAAGUUGAGGAGAUUCUCAGACGUGAGCAGGCAGCCCACUUGAUUGCAUUAUCUGAAGUUGAAAAGCGAGAGGAGAACUUGGCAAAAGCCUUAGCUGCUGAAAAACAGUGUGUGGCUGAUGUAUGCUUUUUCUUCCAUUUUUUUCUUAUAUAACUGCAUGUAAUGUUUCUGUUCAGAAGCAUCCUUAAUGUUCAUCAUUGAUUACCUGUUUAACCUGCUGUUUGUCUAACUUACUGAAAUUGAUAUUAUGGCUAUAUCUCUUGUUGCAGCUUGAAAAAGCAUUGCGUGAUAUUCAAGAAGAACAUGUCCAGGUUAAGCUUAGUUCUGAUACAAAGUUGGCUAAUGCAAAUGCAUUGGUUGCUGGAAUUGAAGGAAAAUCCUUAGAGGUGGAAGAAAAGCUGCGUGCUGCUGAUGGUAGGCUUGCAGAGGUGAAAAGAAAAAGUUCAGAAUUGGAAAGGAAACUGCAAGAGAUGGAGGCUCGUGAAAGUGUGCUUCAAAGAGAGCGUCUUUCCUUUGUUGCAGAGUAUUCUCUUAAUAAACUUUUUAAUAUAUGUUAAGAUGGUUGUUUUGACUUGAACUUUCUUGGAUUUGCUCACAUCUCAUGACAUAUUGUUCUUGUUAUGCAUUUGUUCUACUACUUCUAGACGAGAAGCAUAUCAGGCAACUUUUUACAAACAGAGGGAAGACUUGAAUGAGUGGGAGAAGAGACUAAGCAAAGGAGAAGAGAAGCUGACUGAACUGAGGAGAAUGCUCAACCAGAGGGAGGAAAAGGUGAAUGAGAACGAUAGGCAUUUCAAGCAGAAAGAGAGGAGCCUUGAAGAGCUGCAAAAUAAGAUUGAUUUAUCCACAUUGAAGUUAAAGGAGAUGGAAGAUGAUAUAGGCAAACGUUUGACAGACUUGGUUUCAAAAGAGAAGGUGGAUAUUUUAUGCCUAAUUUAGUGAUUAGUUUAUUUUGAUUUUGUUCUUGAAUUCUGAGUAUUUCAUUAUGUUAAAUAUUGUAGGAAGCUGAGUCCAUUAGAAGUACUCUAGAGGCAAAAGAGAAGGAUCUAGUUGCACUGGAAGAAAUGCUUACUGCUAGAGAAAGGGUGAGAUAAACUACGUUCUGUUUUAGUUUGGAUUGUAAAUAAUGCAAAAAAGGCUAUAUUUCCUUGAUACUCUUUUUCUGGUUGUUUCUUUUCUUGUUUUUAUUCUUUUGCUUCAUUAACUGUGGUGUUUACAAUUUCUCUCGGCACCUUGUAUUGUGUUUUGCACUUUCCAUGCAUAAGAAACACACCAGCAUAUAUAUUUCUUUGCUGGUUGUAAGACAGUAUCUUUUUAAGGUAAGCAUCUUUUGAGAAAAUUGGCAUGCUAUUGAUUUGAUCAUGAAGAGCUUGGUGUCAUGACUAGAUUGCAGUGUCCUGUUUGCAUUCAUAAGAACAAGAUGUGAAAGUUAUGAUAAUGAUGCCGACACUUUAUUCACACUUAAGUUCACUCAAGGUUGAAUGGUUUCCAUAAUGAUUGUAGGUAAACUUUUUUUCCUGAUAAAUGUGAAGAAUUGGAAGUAGGCGCUACAAAUUUGAUAAAAUGAUUGUAUAUUUGCGUCACAUGCACUUUUUUACAGUGCAAGUUGCAAUGUUCCUUCUCUUUUUGGAAGUAAGCAAUGGAGUUUGAGAAAUUGCUAAGUUCUCUAAAGCAGAGAUUCUUAUGUCUUUCUUUUUUCUUUUCCUCUAUAUACUGAUUCAUUGUUGAAUUUGUCAGUAUUUUAUUGUAUGUAUGUGCAUGAUUUUAUGAUCCCGCUCUCCAUGUCUAUGCUCCUUUUCUUUGGCUUGUUUGGUUGGUAGAAAUCUAUGCAUAUGGUAAUAGACUAUGCGAAUAUGUUAAAUAGGGUGAGAAUAAUCCCUUUCUUUUCCUUUUGCUGAGAAUCAGCUUGUUAUUAUUUAAUAGCUUUUAUUUCGCAGCCUCAAGUUCUUAAUUCCUUGGGUUUUUAUAGGUGGAGAUUCAGAAACUUGUCGAUGAGCAAAGGGUUAUUCUGGAUGCUAAAAGGCAGGAGUUUGAAUUGGAACUUGAAGAAAAGAGGAAGUCUGUUGAUGAGGAACUGGAAGGCAAGAUACAUGAAAUAAACCAGCAGGAAGCCGAAAUUAAUCACAAAGAAGAAAAGUUGAGGAAACAAGAACAGGCACUGGAUAAGAAGUCAGAGAGAAUGAAGGAGAAAGAAAAGGACCUUGAGGUGAGGUUGAAAACAGUCAAGGACAAAGAGAAAUUUGUGAAAACUGAGGAGAAGAAGUUGGAGCUGGAAAGGCAGCAGCUGUAUGCUGCUAAAGAGAACUUACAGGCUCUCAAAGAUGAGAUUGAUAAGAUAGGUUCUGAAACCAGUCAACAAGAGUUACGAAUUCAAGAAGAGUCUGAAAAGCUUAAAAUUACUGAAAAGGACAGAGCUGAACAUAUCCGCUUGCAGUCUGAAUUGAAGCAGCAGAUAGUCAACUGCAGACAUCAGGAGGAGUUACUUUUGAAGGAACAUGAGGACCUCAAACAGCAAAGGGAAAAUUUUGAGAAAGAGUGGGAUGCUUUGGAUGAUAAAAGAGCUGAAAUCAUUAUGAAACAAAAGGAAAUUGAUGAAGAAAAGGAAAAGUUCGAAAAAUUGCAACAUUCAGAAGAAGAAAGAUUGAAGAAAGAAGAAGCUGCCAUGCAAAAUUAUGCUUGUAGGGAGAUGGAAUCUCUCAGGCUGCAGAAAGAAUCAUUUGAAGCCACAAUGAAGCAUGAGAAAUCAAAUUUGCUGGAAGAAGCUCAGAAUGAGCGAACUAGAAUGCUUCAAGAUUUUGAAGAGAGGAAAAUGAAUCUUGAAACUGAUAUGAAGAAUAGAUUUGAUCAAAUGCAGAAAGAUCUGCAAGAAAGGAUUGUUGCAUUUGAGGAGGUGAAGGAGAGAGAACUUGCUAAUUUGAGAUGCUCAAAAGAAGAUGCUGAGAGUCAACUGGAAGAACUAAAAUCUGCAAGGUGUGCUGUAGAAAGGGAAAAACAAGAAGUUGCAAUGAACAGGGAUAAGCUGAAAGAGCAGCAGCUAGAAAUGCGAAAAGACAUUGAAGAACUUGGUAUCCUUAGCAGUAAGCUCAAAGACCAGCGGCAACAGUUUAUCCGUGAAAGACAUAGCUUCCUUGAAUUUGUAGAGAAGCACAAGUCUUGUAAGAACUGCGGAGAAGUAACAAGGGACUUUGUACUCUCUAACUUCGAAAUUCCUGAUUUGCAGGAUAGGAAAAUCCUUCCUCUUCCACAGCUAGCUGGUGAAACCUUAAGCCAUCAUCAAGGUUAUGUAGGUGGUUCUGGUGCUACAAAUAUCAAAAGAUCUCCUGAAGCUGAUGCGCAAUAUCCAGAGUCUGCUGGACGCAUGUCCUGGCUUCACAAAUGUACUAAGAUUUUUAGCAUUUCGCCAACUAAGAGAAAUGAAAGUAAAGCUGAAAGGCCUAGCAUGCUUACCACUACAGAAGCAGGAGUGAGUAUUCAAGGAGAGGCAGGAGAGCCAUAUUUAGGGAUUACAGGUGACACUGUCCGUAGCCAAUUGCUCCAAUCUAAUACAAUUAGGGAGGUGGGUGAUGGAUCUGUCCCAUCUGCUGAUCAUAGCUUUGGUGAGAGUAAGGUGCAAGAUGUUCCUGAAGAUUCUCAGCAAUCAGAGCAGAAGAGUGAUCACCGCAAACCUAGAAGAAAACCUAAAUCUGGACUGAAUCGAACACGCUCCGUGAAGGCUGUAGUUGAAGAUGCAAAACUAUUCCUUGGUGAAAGCCCUGAAGGACCUGAGCCUAGUAAUAGGGUGCAGUCACAUGAAACCAGUCAUGUCAAUGAAGAAAGUGCUGGUGUUUCUAGUCAUACUGUUGAGGGGGCAGGACCACGGAGUAAUGCAAGAAAAAGGCAACGCCAACAAAAUUCCCAAGUAAGAGACCGUGAGUUGGAUGCUGCAGAUAGUGAAGGACACUCUGAUAGUGUCACGGCUGGUGGGAGAAGGAAGAGGCAACAAACAGUUACUCCAGGCCUCCAAACCCCAGGACAAAACCGAUACAAUCUCAGGCGACCCAAGACGUAAGUUCCAUCUUAUUAUAUGUAAUAUUCUCAAUGACUUCUGGUAAUAAAUUGUACAAUGUUGCUUUUUAUGUGGUGUGGUGCUUUGACUAGAUUCACAUAAGUUGCCCUUCUAAUUUUGAUUGAAAGGUAAGAAAUGCUGAUUUGUUGUAUUGUAGGAUUCUCUUUUAGAAGAAAUUUAUUCAGAACCCUUUUAAGUUCUAAAUUUGCCUUUGUGGAGUUUUUGCUUGUGCUUAGCCUGUAACUGAAUUUGCCAUUAAUAUUGAAACGGAAAUGGGUUUAUGAGCCUUUUUGAUGGUCUUCUGCAUAUCAGAUGCUGCGACGACUACCCCUUCUUUCUUGGACCAGAAAAUAUAUGUUCGGAAUGAGAAGUACUCAACACAAUAAGUAAAUAACUACAAAUAAAUUAAGUUAAUUCUCUCAUCAAUACUUUCCAAUCCUUUCUAAAGAACUAUGUAUCAGCAGGAUUACAUUGUAAUGAUUUAAAACAAGAUUUAGGAUUUCAAAUAAAACAAUCAAAGCAUACGGAUUUGGUUUCAUACUAUUUAGCUGCAUAUAAUAGUGUUAGAAGUGGAAUUAAUGGAUUAAAAAAUGGUGAAAAGAAAAAAACCUUUUUGGUUGCAUUAUUGUUGAAAACGUUGUUUUCAAAUUUUUAGAAGAGGGUGUUUCCAAACAUUUUAAUUACUGCUUUAAUGACAAUUUAUGUUAAUGUUUGGAAGUCAGUUCAUAUUUGUGUGUUGGAUUGUGAUGCAAGCACAAAUAUAUUGUUCAAAUUUGAAUAGAAUGGUACAUGCAAAACUAAAUAUGAAAAAAUAUGCUCCACCACAUAGAAGGGUACUAAAAAUAUGUUAAGAUCUGUGUUUUCAGAUGUUGGAGAAUGUUGACAGAUACUGGAAGGCCUAAUUGCAUAUAAGGGAACCAUUUAUGUAUCUUUAAUUAUGUAGCAUAGAAAGGAAAUAUUUUUGGAGGAUAUAGUGGUCCGUUAUUCUUUUAUUUUUGUUUUGUGUGUGUGUAAAAUGGAAAAUAUCUCCAGUGGAGGAAACCAUUUCUUCUAUUUAACCAGGGUUUUCUAUAACUGGAUAGUUUUUCGUGGUCUUAGGUUAUUGUCUAGGAUAUGAUUAAGGUUCCCAAGAGGUGAAAACACUUGAUUAUUCUAAAUAUACUUUAAAAAAAAUAUAUUUUUACAGUACAGUCACAGCCACAGCAGCACAGGCCUCAUCUGAUGUCCUGAAGACUAGGAAGGAGCCUGAGGAUGGUGGGUUGGAGGGAGGAGUGCAUACUAGGAAGGAGCCUGAGGAUGGUGGGUUGGAGGGAGGAGUGCAUACAAGGAAGGAGCCUGAGGAUGGUGGGUUGGAGGGAGGAGUGCAUACUAGGAAGGAACCUGAGGAUGGUGAGAACAGAAGAUCUAACUUGGUGCAGGUUACAACAAUAAAAAAUGUGGAGAUCUUAGAAAGCGAGGUGGUUAAGGUAAGUCCUGACUAAACCAUUUGUGUUGGGAUGCCAUGUUAUGAUUUCCAUCAUGCGUUUUCUUCUUACUCUACCCCAAACCUUGUUAUGCCAGCUCAAAACAAGCGUGGAUGUUGGGGGCAAUGAAAUAGCAGCAAAGACAGUCAAAAGUGUGGAUUUGAUUGAAGAAGUAGAUGUUACAGCUGAAAAUGGUGAUGAAGAUGAGAGUUGGGGCAGAUUCCAAGAGGAGGAUGAAGAGGACGAGGAUGAUGAUGAUGAUGAGAUGGAAAAUCCGGGUGAUGUGUCAAUUGGAAAGAAAAUCUGGACAUUUUUUACCUCAUAAGUCAUAAGGCUCCUAUUUUGUUUUUUUUUUUUUAAUUUUCUUUGAGACUGAGGGACGUUGCUAUGCUACACUUUGGCACAAUAAGUUGUGUAACUAGGAUGCUUUAACUUUAGCUUUAGUUUUAGCUUCAGCUUCUGAGCUUUGCAUUGUAUCUUGUGUAUGGCUUAUAUAGGAAUGUUUCCUGUCUGUGGAUUCCCCGGGAAAGUGAUGUGGAAGUGGUAACAACAAUUGAUUUCUAGUUCGUUUUGUACACUAUAUUCUUUAGUUGCAAGUAUGUUUUGCUUCAUUUUUAUCAUAUUCCUAGUUGCAAAAAUUACUGCACAUCCUGCUUUUGCCUUCUUCCCAGUUGCUGGAAAUCAUUUUGGAAAUUGAAUGCGAUGCAUUGACAAUGAAGCAUAGCCGCCUCUCUCACCUGUGCAUGUUUAUUUGAUUAGGUUUAGAUGGAUGCAUAGGACUUGUAAGACCAGAAUCAACUCUUGUUUUUUUUUUUUUUGCUUUGCUUUACAUUGCAUUGCCAGCAGGUCAAGAGAGGCCACAAAUUUUCGAAGUUGGUCAGAGUUUGACUACAUGUCAUUGUAUAUUUUAAUUUACGAACAUGUCUUUCUUUCUCUAGUGUCAUUUUCAUGCAAAGAUCAAUCGUCUAAACCAAUUCCAUUGAACCGGUCUUAGGAUGAAUCGCUACAAUGAAAUUGAAAAUGAUCUAGAAAGUUGGUAUGAUAGUAACAUUGAAAUGUAGCACACAUGUUUGGCUGGUAUUGCCUCUUAAUUUCCAAGAGAGAUUUUCUCUUACGGGUUAAGAUCUAUUUUAUUACUUUUUUAUCUCUUAAUAUUCAAUAUAAUGAUUAUCACCAUUCAAAUACAUAGAAUCCAUAUAAGAUUUAUUUAUUAAAUAUAAAAAUUAACUUGCAAUAAUGGUCAAAUAUGUGUUAGAUAUUAAUGAAUGAAAAAAUAAUGAAGUGGAGCCAAAUCCUUUUUUACCAUAAAGUUGAAUGCUAAUUUUGUUUUUGCGCUUUUGCACUACGUCUUUCUCUGAUUCUGAGCGUCUGAGUCUCAGCAGCAGCAACAGUACUGUUUGAGUUGAGAAACCCCACCGGCUAAGCACAAAAUCAAUAGCAAAAAAGCAAAGCAGAGAUAAAAAACUCAACUCUGUCUUAUUGCAUUGCAUUUACAAUUUGACGUGCUCCCUUCCAUCUUUCAUUUGAGAGGGGACAAAUGGUCCCCUGCCUUCCCAAACCCAAAGGACUAACUAAUGCUACAGACCUUAACCCUCUCUCGUCAGCCGUCUCCAGAAAUAAAUCCCUCAACUACCACCCUCUUUAACUUUAAAUACUAUAUAUAAUGCAAUACAAUACCCAAAAGUAGUCUGCGAAAAGAAUCACAAGGAGCUGCAAAGUGCAUGCCAAAGUAGAUAGCCGCAUAAUAAUAGCAUAAAAUUAAAAGGGGUCGCUCUUCCUUUCGCUUUCAGUUUCAGAUUUCAGUACUCAAAGCAAAGCAAAAGCCCCCCUUCAGUUUCUAUUUUUUACUGCCUUUAAUCUUGUUACUACUGCUAUUACUGCCAUUACUUUCUUGGCUUGGACUACUGUGCUUGUAUGGAUCUUUGUGUUCUUUCUGCUAUAUUACUUACCUUAGCUUUCCUAUUACCAACAUGGAAGCAAAUUUCUCUACUCCCUUGCUGUGCUUCUCAUCUCUCUCCUUUUCUUUUUCCCUUUCCCUUUCCUUGCUCACUUAACUAUCUUUUUUGUUCCUUUCACUCUCAACUCUCCAUACUAUCCUAAGCUUUCUCCAGAACACGGUAUGCCUUUCGAAGCUGUCCCAUGCUUCCUUUGCUUCUAUGUUGAUUGCUUCCAGUUCCACCCCCUUUUUAUCUCUUCCUCUUCUUCUGUCUCUCUUCUUUACCUUAUCUUGACACUGGAAGCUCUUUCACUUUGAAAAGCCUUGUUUACAAUCUCUCUAUACAUUUGUAUUCCUUUUUCUAGGUUGUUUUCCAAAAACCAACAGCUAUACUUUGUUUUCUCUUUCUGAGUUUUGAAAUAUCUAACAAGGAGGAUGCUUAUGAGAAGCAAUCGUUUUACUUUGGCUGUUUGCAUUCUAUGUUUGGGUAUUUGGUGCUGUGGCCAAGCAUACAAUACUGAAGAAGCAGCUCCCAUGGAGAAAGCUGAGCAAGCCGCUCUGUACUCUGCCAUACAAGGCUUUGUAGGUAAUUGGUGGAAUGGCUCAGAUCUCUAUCCGGAUCCUUGUGGUUGGACUCCAAUACAGGCAUGGUUCACCUCUUGAUUUUAAGUAGUAACCUUGUCGCAAUUGCAUUUACCAUCUCACUCUUUAAGGUCAAUGUUCGCAUGUAUAUCAUAAUAUAUGACCGAGGCGGAUGUAGUCUGCUUUGCUUAUUUAUCUUGAUUGGUUCACAUUAAUUAUUUGAUACAUAUAUAGUUAGGGUUCUCCUUUAUUUAAGCAAAAAAAAAAAAAAAAGAAAAGAAAAAAGAAGAGGGUGUAAAAAGUCUCUUCCUCCAGACUCCAAAACUAUACACGUUUAUCACUUUUCUCAGUAAAUUGAUAGAAAAGAAAUUAUUAGUGUUGCUAAUUGAUAAUGUGGUAAUAUAUAUUAUUUUUUUUUGCAGGGGGUCUCCUGUGAUAUCGUAGGUGGCCUAUGGUAUAUCACUGCUUUGAGCAUUGGUCCCUUUUAUGAAAACUCACUUGCUUGUGCCACUAAUGUGGAGUUUAGGCCACAGCUCUUCCAGCUCAAGCACCUAAAAUCUCUCAGCUUUUUCAAUUGUUUCGUAUCUCUUAGACAUCCAAUUACCAUCCCUGGUGAUAAAUGGGAAAAACUUGCUGGCAGCUUGCAGUCAAUAGAGUUUCGGUCCAAUCCAGGUCUCAUUGGCCAAGUUCCUACUAGCUUUGGUUACCUCAAAAAGCUCCAAUCUUUAGUCUUACUAGAAAAUGGGUUAACAGGACAAGUACCAACUAAUAUCGGCAACUUAACCAACCUGAAUCGACUAGUCCUGGCUGGAAACAGGUUUACAGGUCGAAUCCCAGAUAGUUUCGGAAGGUUAAAGAAGCUGUUAAUCUUGGAUUUAAGUAGAAAUUCACUCUCCGGCCAUUUACCUCUAGGUCUUGGUGGCCUGGCAUCACUCUUGAAGUUUGAUUUGAGUAACAAUCAAUUGAAGGGGAAGCUGUUUGCACGUAAUGCAUAUCUGAAGAAUUUGACCCUUUUAGAUGUGAGAAACAACAAGUUCUCAGGUGGGUUAAACCAGCCAAUUCUAGACAUGCAUUCUUUGGAAGAGUUGAUGCUGUCUUGCAACCCAUUAGGUGGAGAUAUUAUGAGGCUAGAUUGGCAAAGUUUACAAAGUCUUGUGGUGUUGGAUCUCAGUAAUGUAGGAUUGAAAGGUGAAAUUCCUGAAUCCCUAUCUGGAUUGAAGAGACUGAGGUAUCUGGGACUUGGUAACAACAAUCUGGCGGGCAAUCCCCCAGCAAAGCUAGCAUUUUUGCCUGAUCUUAACGGACUGUAUCUAAAUGGGAACAAUCUGACAGGAGUGCUUAAAUUCUCUGAAAUAUUUUAUUGGAAAAUGGGAAAGCGUUUUGGGGCUUGGAAUAAUCCAGAACUCUGCUAUCCAAUUGGGUCAAUGACAACAAGGAAUGGUCCAUAUGGAGUAAAGCCAUGCCAACGAGGUGUCACUUUGCUCGACCCUAAUUCUGGGGCUAAGUUGGGGGAUGGAAACUUGAACAACAAUUCCCAUUUCGUCGCCUCAUUGGGAUUCUCAAGCAAUGGCAUUGAUGGGCUUCGGCAGUUAAUUUUGGUAGAUACAUCGAUAACAGUACUACUAUUGAAUCUUUUCCUAUAGAUCCCUAUUUUGAAAAAGAGAAGCUAGUUAGGCCUCAUCAUUCACCUUUUCACAUGCUUCUUUUUCUUUUUCCCAUCUUGUAAUCCAAACAUCAAGCUGAUAUCGUUUCAUCCUCCAUACUUGCUAGAAAGCCCUAAUGCCCAUGUCUUCAUUCUCAAGUAAGGUCAUUUUCUUUUGGGAAGUAUAUAUAUAUACUUCCGUUUUAAUUUGUAAAUGAGAUCAGGUAAGUCGAUUUUUAUUUUAUUUUAUAGAUAUGUCAUUUAAUUAACAAAUUCCAAUUAUAACCAACUAAUUUAUUGAUUUAGAUUUUAAUCAUUUUUUUAAUCCAACAAUUAAAUUUUGCAACAUUCUUUUUCCUUGUGUGAUAUAAUAACGAUAUUAAAUAUCGUGGUGUAGGAUUGGAGUAUUUGCAAUGUUAUUGUGUCCAUUUUUAAUGUUUUAUUGUUAGUAAUAACGUAAUUUAAUUUUCAAGUUAUUAAUCACUAGAAGUUAUUGGUGAAUGUUUUUCAUUAGCAAUAAAAUUGGCCUACUAAUUUAAUUGAUUAAUUUUUUUAUCCUAGCCCACUUAAAACAAAUUAUUAAUUCUUUUAUUAAGAAAAUGAUUGAUGGAGGGAUAAAUCCUUUUUCUAUAACAACCAUAAAUGGGGAGGGUAAUGCGCUACAUCCUCCUACAUUGAGUACAAUGCUUAUGCCAAUCGAACUAAAACUCGGUCGACAACUCUUGGUUAUAUUGGUUGGAAGUGUUUGGAGUUGAACCCAAAACCAGUUGGCCCUCAUGUCAACCAUUAAUGAUCCAAUCUUUUAUUCAUUAGUUGUUUGUAGGUGAUAUAUGUUUAGUUUACUAGAGUUGGAUAAAUUGAAUAUAUUGUUUCUUGUAACAAGACUGAAUAUAUGGAUUAAAUCAAGCAAAGCAUGAAAAAGAAAAUUAAUUGUGAAUGAUAACCAGAAAGUCUGAUUUUGGUUGUUGAUAGAGAAACAGAAAAGGGAAUGGAAAAGUAGAGAAAUUGUGGAAGUAAUUGGUAUUCCAAGGCAUGGGGCGGUUAGGAGCUUUAAUAGAUUGAAAGUGAAGUAAGGGGGAAAGUGUAGGGUGAGCAAAGGCUAGUGCGGGUAGAGUUGCAGUGCUCUAUCCUACGUUGUUAUUUUUAAUGAUGAUACGAGAGUUGGGACCAGACUACAUUUUACUCUUAAAACAUACACAUAUAAUAAUGCAAACCUUCUGCCAGCUGAGACCGUUAUCUGUUCUGCUUCCUUUCUUCUUCUGCCUAUAGACUAUGGAGAGAGGCAGACAGCAUUCUGAUCUCAAUCUCUUAACCCUAAACCCAACCUUACUCCACCUCUUUAGUUCCAUGGACCCUCCUCUUCUACUUUUAACCUUUUUUUAUUUCACGAUAUCAGGACUCUUAACCUAAGCUUAUUUUCCAAAUCUCAGUUUUAUAAAGGUAGAGAUUCAAACCUCACAUGCAUGAAUUGAUUACAUUUUUACAAUGAAAUUUGAUAUAUUCACACACUCGGGUGGAAAAGAAUUAUGCAAAAUUUUACUUUGUUACAAACUAAAAGAAUAAUGAUAAUAAACAGCAUUAUAGUUAAAAAAUUGAUAUAAUAAUAAAUUUAAUCCUAUUACAUUAUAUGAAUUUAGUUAUAAUUUUAAAAAAUUAAUCCUCAAAGUUUACAAUUAAUUUCAAUUUAUUCUAAUUCUAAAAAAUUUAAAGAAAUAUAUAAAAAUACAUAAAUAUUUUCAUAAAAAUAUAAUAUAAUAAAAUUAAAUUAUAUAUAAUAUUAAUAUUAAUAUUAAAUAAAUAUAAUUAUAUACUAUUAAAUAAAAUAAGAAUCCCCCACUCCCCACCCUCGUCCCCCUCCCCCAUCUUUCCAUGCAAACUUCAAAUGCCAUCGUCAUGCAAAUUUCAGCCUCUCAUUAUACGUUUAAGUCAUUUCUCGGUGACAUAAAAAACAUAAGGAAAAAAAACGUAGGUUCUAAGGAACUAGAAUCUGCAACCACUGAGCAUUGGUCUUAGGUUGCUAAAUACAGACAGGGAUAACAACCUGGUCGUAUGUUGCAGUGUUGGAUCAGGACCUUCAGAUCCUGGUUAGUUUUAUCUACCAUUAUUUUUCCCUUUUAUUUUACAAAUAAACAAGGAAAGAAAUGAUGUAUUUGAGUUUUUGAGCAGGAAACUUUGGGUUGUGGAAUUGUGAUGAGUAUAAUCCUACCCUUUUGGAGGAGCAAAUGGGGGCCAUUGUUAAAAAAUAUAACCAAAGAUCGAUGAUGGGGGUGGCGGGAGGGCCGACAGAGACGGUGGUGGGGGAGGCCCGGAGGAGGAGAGGGAGAGAGGUUAGGGUGGGGGAUUUUUAUUUAUUUAAUAUUAAUAUAAAAUUAAAAUUAUUUUUAUAUUGUUUUGAAAAUAUUUAUUUAUUUUUAUAUAUUUCUUUGAAUUUUUUAGAAUUAAUAUUAAAUUGAGGCCAUUUAUAAAAUUUGGGGGUAUUUUUUUAAAAAUUAUUAUUAAAUUGAUAUAAUAUGUAAAAGUUGAGGGAUAAAUUUAUUAUCGUACCAAUUUUUUAACUAGCAUCAGCUUACUGUUUGUGACUUUAAGGGAAAUGACUAAAAUGAUCAAAUUAUGUAGCAUGUGUGCUUAAAUUAUAAACUUUUUAGUUUAAAUGUCUAAAAUAAUUUUUUUUUAUAAUUAAGUGACUAUUUAUAUAGUUUACCUUAAAAGUUAUAAAAUUGAAUAUAAAUCAUGAAAUAUAAUAAUAAUAAUAAUAAUAAUAAUAAUAAUGAAAAAUAAGAAAAGAUAUAAACGGAUGAUUUACUCAGUGGCGGAGUCAGGGGAUUGGCAGGGCCCCGGCUCCCCUAAAAUGAGAAAUUUUUUAUUUAGACUCUUUAUAAUUUAUAAAAUUUUAAAUUAGUAAUAGUAAAAUUACACUUUAUCCCCCGAAAAUAAUAAAAAUUAAUUUAAUUCUUUAAAAAUUAUAAAAAUAUAAACUAUUAAAAUUAUAAAAUUACAUUUUUACUAUAAUAAAAAUAUAUAAUUUAAUUUAAUAAUAAAAAUAUAUAAUUUAAUUUAAUUCCGCCCUCACGACUGAAUUUACGUGGAGUAAAGUAAAUAAUUUAUCUCCCUUAUGGAUAUUCAUAAUUAAAUGAUGGGACAAACCUCUGCUAUGCAAAAAAGGAAUACAGCCCAUGUUUGCUCUUCUGUGACAACAUCUCUUGAUACCCAUCAAAUUAUCUCUUGAACUUCUAUGGGUAAGUUUAGAUGGACGGUGCGUUUACCUGCAGUUAGUAUAAAAACAGCAGUGGCGGUGAGAUUAGAUAUUGCAGCAACACUGUAUCGUGAGACAAAAAGUAGGCUAAACGCACCGCACCGCACCCAAUCGCCCGUCCAAAUCCACCCUAUAUCUCCUUUCUUCUAAAGGUCCUGAGUGAAACCAAAUUUUUGAGGAAAGAUAUUUCAUUAUAUAUGCACCCUUUUUUAAUAAGAGGUAAACCUUUAGUGAAAAUUUUUAAGUUAUUUAAAUUGAUGAUAUCCUAAUUUAAUUUUAAAAAAAUUCAAUCCAAUAUAGUAAAAUGAAGUUUGAGCCAAAUUAAGUUGAAUAAUUAUGUUUAAUUUAAAUUUAAAAAAUUAAAUAUGUGAAAUUAAAAAGUUAAUGCACUAUUUGAUCUUGAACUUGGUUACUUUCCCACAUGAGUAUCUAGACUUUUUUUUUUAUCCACAUUAAUCCUAAAACAUGACAGCUUUUUUAAUUUGGUAAAGUGUGAUGGCAUAGUUCAAUAAGAUUUUUUCACGUUAUCACUUGAAAAUUUUAUAAUUAUUUAAUAUAUUUUUAAAAUUUCAGGAUCCAAGUUUAGGAAUCAAAUUGAGAAAAUUUGUCAAGAUUAAUAAGGACCAGAAAAGAUUUAAAGACCAGGUUGGAAAUGUUACUUUAUCCCUAAACUAAAACUUUGUUGGCAUGACUAAAUUCUAACUAGAUCCCAUAGAUUUAACAUCAUAUACAUUUGAAAACACUUUUAAAACAAAAAUAAAUGAAAAAAAACUUAAUAACUCAGUUGAUUAAAACCUUAAAUUUAUCAUUUUAAAAAAUGUAUAUUUUUUCGUAUUUUAACUUUCUUAUAGAAUUUUUUUCUAAUUUCAUCUCCUUUCUUUCUUUUUCUUUUUUAGAAAAUCUAAAGAUUAUUUUGUAAUUAUUUUUGAAAAGUUACUUAGUUUUUCUUUAUUCGAGUUUUUGUGUUGUAAAAAUUAGAUUCGACUUAAACUCAAAAAGUUGAAUUACUUAUUUAAGUUUAUUCAAAAAACUUAAUAACUUGAAUCAAUUAACUCAAAAAAAAUGUUUUCAAAAUUUUAAUUAAAUUGAGUUUUGGUACCACUUUUAAUUGAGUUAUACAUUGUAACAGACCCAAUUAGCCCGCGCCCGCACAAACCAAAAAUAAACUAUUUAACUCAAUGUCCACAGUCCAGUUUUUACAAACCCAAGUAAUAUCAAACUAGCCCGCUAAACCUAAGGCCCAAUAACCCAAAUACCCAAUUCAACGAAACCCUAAAAUCUAGCAGCCUCCAACACAGCAUCCAGCCGUCGCACGACUCUGAACCAGCCCUCCUCCACGCGCGCCACGCCUUGCGCGCCGCACCUCCACGUUCGUACCUGUAAAAGGACUAAGAGAGUCCAAUAGCAACAAAAACAGUGUAAAAGUAGGGAAAAUAGGAAAUUUCGGGCUAUAAAAAAGCCCCGAAUUUAUGUAUUUUACACACACGAAUGAAUCAAAAGAAAUCAGAAAAAAAUCAAUUCAAAUAUCAGUCAUUCUCAAAGGUAGUUUUUUUUAAAUAUUUUUCGGCUUAUUUAUUUAUUUAUAUUUAUUUUUGUUUGUUUUAAAGAAACUGAAAGUAAAAAGGGUAAAAAUCAUACCUUUAUUGCGAAGGAGGUGCCGAUUCCGAUGAAAAUCGGCGUUCUUGGGUUCCGGGCGUUGAAAAAAACAUUUUAAAAAUUUUUCACCCACCGCGGACGGCGGCGCCGUCGCUAGUGACCGGCGGCCGCCACGGUGGCCAACGGUCGAAUCCCUGACCGGAAAUUGGGAGGAGGGGAGAAAUGUUGAGAGUUUUUUUUUUGUUUUUUGAAGAAGAAAUGAGAAAAUGAAGAAAAAAAAAACCUUUUGAUUUAUAUAGAGAAGCAAAACGACGUCGUUUUGCUUAGGGGUUUAAGAGCCAAAAAUGGCGCAGUUUCAGGCACUUGACCAAUGUGGUGACCCGACCCAGGGAAGGAUUCGCGUGUUUUUGGAAUUUAGGUUAUUCACCCUUUCGGUCCUUCUACUUUUUUGGUUUAUUUUAAUUUAGUCCUUUAUUCUUUUUUUAUUGAUUUGGCCACUAAACUUUUGCGUGUUUCAAUUUAGUCCCUGGCUCGCUAGAAGGGACAUGUGUCCAGGGAAUUGGGCUAUUUGCCCAUUUUGUCCUCAACCUUGCACGCCAUUUGGCUUUAGUCCUCUUUAUUUAUUUAUUUAUUUAUUUAUGAUUUUUACCCUUUAAUUUCAUUUUUUGUCCCGAUUUAGUCCCAAACCAGUUAGACUUCAAUUUAUUUUCGCCGAUUAUUUAUUUUAAAUUGUUCUAUUAUUAUUUACUUUAGUUUUUUUUUAUAUAUUAUGCAUUUUAAACUAUAUUAAAUUAUUAUUCAUUUUAUAUAUCCAUAUAUUAUUGGUUUUAAUUCAAGUUUUAUUUUAAAUUUCAUCUAUAUAUUAUUUAUUAUAAGCUAUAUAUAUUUUCUCCGUACACCCAGAUACGAAGGAUUAGCACCCUCGUAACGCCCAAAAACGGGUUCGAGAGUCAGUUACUUACGAUAUUUCGAUUUCUUCAUAGAAACAAGAUGACCAAACUUUUUUUUAGUUUUCAAAUUAAUAAAUUUCAAUAAAUAUUUUAAAAGGAGAAUCGUUUUUUAAUCUUUUUCAUUCGACCUUAAGACAUUAAAUAAUUAAUUCGGUAUCAAUUUUGGGCGUUACGAGGGUGCUCCUUCCUCGUACGUAACUGAUUCCCGAACCCGUUUUUCUAAAACUCGCAGACCAAAAUCAUUUUUUAGGUGAUCCAAUCACACUUCAAUAAAAGAUUGGUGGCGACUCCCAAUUUCGCUUUAAAGGUCGGCCCCUUUUUUUGCAAAAUAAAAAUGACUUCGACAUACAUGUUACAUUAUUUUCGUGUAAAAUUCUUGUAUCCUUUUUCGAAUGAUAUAUCUAAGGGCGUCAAUGGGGCGGGUUUCGUAGGAUCUCGCCCCGCUUCGCACCCAAUUGGGCGAGGAUGAGUACAAAUUUCACGAGUGGUGGGGUAAGGAUAUGGACAAAAAUUAGACCCAUCGUGGGUAGCAUGGCAGGCGUGGGUAUGACCUCGUACCCAUCUUAUCCCCGCCCGCCCUACAUAAUAUAAUAAGCAUAUUUAAAAAAUAAACAUUUAUAAAAAUUUAAUUUUGAUAACAAUACUCAAUUAAUAUUCACUGCUAUUUAUUUUAGAAAAAAAGGAACGCACUCCACAAUUUCUCACCAGAUUAAAAAAAAAAGAGAGUACUCAACACAGUUUCUUAUAUGGAGGUUCAAGUGAAGUUAAAGAGAUACAACGUUCACAAUUGAUAGAAGAAUUAGAAGAUGAAUGUGAUAUAGAAGUAAUGGGAGUGACAUGUAUUGAUUAAUAUUUGGAAUUUUUGCACUUGUGUUGCAUUUGAAGACAUUUAUGAUGUAUUUGAGAUAUUGUUUGUAUUUGGAUAUUAUGUAACGACUUUAUUUUCUGAAUUUUUUAAACUUAUAUUGAUAUUUUAUUUACCAAUUAAAGGGUCGCGACUUUUUUUUUUAAAUGGUGACAUUUGAAAUAAUGUUACAUAUGUGGUGGGAGUUCGAAUGACAGAUAUUUCAUACUUUUUUCAUAAAAAAAUUGGUUUAUAUUUAUUUCACCGUUACUUGUGAAUAUAUUAUAUGAAGUGGGUCGCGGAUAUAGCAGGAAUUAGGUGGGUUUGGGGAUCCACGUGGGUGGUGGGGCAAGGAUGCUCCUCUCGCACCUGCCUCGUCCAAUUUAUAUCCCUAGAUAUAUCACUAGAGGUGUUCAUGGACCGGAUGAGUUCGAUACAGAUUUAAGCAUGAUCUCAAACUUGAUUCAACCUGAAAAGUAAGCCUGAAUUUUUUUUCAAACCUGCUCUCAUGUUUAUAGAUGGAUAACCGAAUAAUAAUUGGUAUAGAUGGAUGAAGCCCAAUAAUGCAUGAAAGCUCUAAUGGAGCAAACCUUAUCCAUUAAAGUACACAAAGUGUUCCAUUCGCAUUUUAUUACAAACAUCACAAACGCAACAAUCAAGUAUUACGGGUGUUCUACUAUGAAAUAUUAGCCUAACCAUAGAUAACAGUUCAUCUUUAUAAUAGCUACCCUGCUGCAACAGGUUAUAAAAAUUCCUAAGGCUGCCCACUAAUGAAACAUGUACUAAUUUUCAAAUACUAUCACAUCAGGUUAGACAGUUGAAAUAGUAAUUUGUUGAAGGAAAGAAAGAGGAUUAUAGGUUAAAACGCAAUAAUUGAACCUGUAAUUUAGAAUAACAUCAAUUCAAGCUUACAUCAAAGGAAGAAAAAAAACAAAACCAAGCUAUUAUUUAGCUGCUCCCUAAGCUAAUCUUUGACAUUUGUGACAACCAAUUUCCUAAUUAUAUGUGUAUUUGGUAGGAAAAAAUAUUACUUGGCUGCUCCCUGAGCUACCAUGUAUGAAAGCAGUUGGUUAGAUUGUUGGCUCUUCCUUCCUUGCACAGCUGCUCUGUUUGAUUAACUUUUGUAAUGAAUUACAACAUUUUAGCUCAAGGAAUGAGGACUAAGGUAAACUAAAAUAUGAGAUUGAUAUUGGCUGGCAGUGAAGAAAAAAAAAAAUCAUAAACCAAGUCCCUUUUGGAAAUUUUAGAAGCAGGGCAUGAGAAAACUGCUUUGUAGUUUUGACAGGGCAAAGCUGACAGAGACCAGAAAGUGCCACCUUGACCCUGAGUCAUCCUCGAUCUGGGAUCAGCUUGGGUUGGUGAAAUGGACGAUCAUUUAACUAUACAACUAGUGUAAGGGCCACAUAAGGGGAAAAAAGGUCAUUUAGUUAUUUUUUUAAGUUAUCUGUUCCACAACAAAGUCGUGCCAUAUGGCAAUGUAUUGCUUCAAGUGUCAACAUAGCCAAAAACCGUCGUGUAUUUCAUGCUCUCAGGCAAACCUCAAAGUUGACAAUGAGGAGUUUUAUAAUAAGCGCUCAGGAAGAGUGUGAUAAUUAUAAAAACUAUUUCCUUGAUCUCCGGUAUUAGGCCCUGUGGCUGUAGCUGUGGGAUGUGAAUGUCGGUCUCAUUGGGUGUUGAUGAUAUCCUAAUAUUUUUGCCUAAUUUUUGCUCCCGGAUUAAAGUCGAACGCAAAGCACGUUGACAUUUGACAAUUGACACAUCUUGAAAUGGGCACCUACCCACUUGGCACAUGUUCAAUUCCCCAAGGCGCAAGGCUAGGCUAGUUCAAAGUCAUGACAUGGACUUUUCCAAUAGUUUUUAUUCCCUUGAUUAUGUAAUGCAGCCAAGUUAAGUUGACAAAGUUGCAGUUGAGGAAUUUCGUUAUGCAGCCGGUGGCUGUCCAUGAGAUUAAGAUAAGAGAGUUUCUUGUAAGUUUCUAUUGAUUUGAAUAUAUUUCUACUGGGAAUUGUAUGCCGAAUACAGAUGUCUAUCAAUGUCAGCUUGAAUUUGUAGCUUUGAUUUCUUUCUUAUAAGACCUUCCUACGCAAAAGAUCGCCUACUGCACACUAUUUUCAUCUUUAAAAAAAGGAUUUAUUUAUAUCCACACAAUAUAUUUCUAUGACCAUAAUUCCUUUAUACUGCUAAUGAAAAUAAAUUAAAUUCUGGGUUAGAAAGCUCUAGGAACCUUUCAAAAUUAUGCCUCUAAAAAGAUUGUUCUUCAUAUUAAUCAUCAGCUUUUAAAGUAACAAAAGCUUUGAAUGGUCAAGUUCAUACAUAAUGGACCAUAUAUACACAAAAUCAUGCUUUUGAGUUUCGAGUGUUGGAAAAGGCAAAAGAGAUAGCAGAAACAAUUGCUCCUCCUGUCGUUUUCACAAGGAAAAGGCAAAGCACAGAGGCAUUCAUUUUUAGAAAUUAGACGCAGCCAUAACGUAGCCUUCACUAGAGUUGGCACGACUGCUAUCUUUUUAAGCCAUUCAAUUCAUUUCUUUCCCCAUCAAAUCAUGCAUGUCAUAAAGCCCAUCUACAUACAUGCACACAUAUAUGUUAAUUCUUACCGUCUAUGAAAUCCCAUUUUUUUUUUCUUUAUCUGCGUGCGCUACUAGGUUAUCUUUUGUCAACAAAAUUAAUACAACUUAUACAAGUAACAUUGAAAAAAAAAAAAGAAAAAGAAAUCAUAUAAGACUUUCCUCUCUGCCAAACAAACAGAAUGGUUAGGUACACCAUAUAUCGCAGGCUUUGGAUUAGAGUGGACCAGUUUGUACAGUAUAAUUAUAAAAAAUGGGUCAUGUUAUUUCUUUUUAAAUGGCUUCAUCUUCCACUUGUUUACAUUUCAAUUAGCCACGCAGAAGUGAUAGAAAUUUCUAGGAAUUUCUGCCUCUCCUGCUUAAAAUCACAAAAUCGUACUGCCAAGUAACUUUCAGAUCAAGAAACCAGAAAUUUAAACAAGAUGAGAAAAAUAAAAAUAAAAUAUCAUAAACUAAAAGUCUAUGCCGGCACCAAAUACUUACAAUAAUUCAUGACUCCAAAAAUGAAAAGACUUUCAAAAUUAAAUUUCCAAAGCGUUGACAAUACUUAAAUCAAAAUUUCCACAGUUCAUUAGCGUGCGUUUCACUCUCUUUAAUUUCCUCGUCCUUGCUUCCCCAUUUGCCACCUUUGUUUUUUCCUCCUCCAAUCACCAUACCAUUAUUAUACUUGUUAUAUAUAAACAAAAUCUUUCACCUUAUAUGCUAACUUGUCUCCCCUUAUACCAGUAAAAAACUACAAACCUUUAAAAGCUCUUCUUCUAAAACCCUACUCCCACUUCCCAAAUAUCAAAAGCGAUUUGUUUUCUCUUCUUUUUCAAAUGGCUCCUUCUUUAUCAUUGGCACUUCCUUUGCAAUCCAAGAAGAUUUCAUGCACAAGGCAGCAGCUUUCCAAUAUCAUAUAUGUCGUGUUUCUGAUUACACUUCUUGCUGGCUCUAGUUUUGCCACUAGGCCUGGCAAAACCAUAAUUGUGGACGAUACAGUUUCCAUGACCGUGUUCCCGAGAAAGUACGAGACGGGCUUUCGAUACCAAGGACAGAUGUUCAACUUCUUCCCCAAAGGGAUCCCUAUACCACCUUCUGGUCCUUCUAAAAGACACAACUCUGUAGUCGAUUCUACUCGAAACUGAGUAGGCAGUCCUUUUUUCUGUAGUCUCAACUCUCAAAGCUUCUUUUUUCAUCUUUCCUCAGUUUUUUUUCUUUCUUAAUAUAGCUGUUAGGAUUGUUUGCAGCGAAGGGCUUGUUUUAGGGGGGGGGGUGAUUGAAUGUGAAGCCCAAUGAAAUCGGGUCAAAAACAGAGCUCACCCCUUUCAGGCUUUUUGAGAUUUUUACUUAGAUAUACUGUAUAGAAAUUAUGAUUUGUUUGUUGAAAUUUUCUACUGGUAUUCGUUUCAAUAUUAAAAAAAAAAAUUGCAGCUGUAUGUACACUUGGUCGAAAUGAAUUCAAUUUUGUGACGAAUUAUAAUGAAUCAAAUGCUUUUUUUUUUUUUGCAUAUUCUUUUUACUAAACAGGGACAGUAUAUGGUUAUCUCCCUCUCUCUGUUUUUGGUUUUGACUUUAGAUUGUGAAGAAAAGCCAGCUAUUGGAUCUACUUUCAUUGCAGUAGGGGAGAAAGCUCCAAUGGUUGCGUUUGGUAUUGGUAUAGACUAUAGAGUUGGGCGCCUUCUUGGCCCACUUAAUUGGGGUCGUACAUUCAAUGAGGAAUAUAAAGGAACCUUGUUUUAUAUUCACUAUUUCUUUAUACAAACAUCAAGAAGUAUUGUCUUAGUUUAUUUAGGUUACGAUAUGAAUAAAUAGAUUUUAUGAGGCCUUGUGUGCGCCCCCAGACGUUGUUAAUUACGUUGAGUGUGUUUCUUAUUUAGACCAAAAGCUGUGUAUUGGAAAAAGCGGAGGUUGAUGGCAAAUUUCUUCCCCACGUGGAACGCAAAUUAGCGAAACUUCAUGAAUUCUGAUUUCGGGCAUUUUAGAUAAGCCUAAAUGAUAUUUUAGAUGUAACCGUGAACCUCAUGCAGCUAUAAGAAUUUUGCUUUUCAUAUUUGUCACGUUUGACCAUCUAAGAUACAUAUAUAUUAAAUUAAGGAGGAUUUAUACAAAAUUAAAAUAAUAAUAGUACGGAAAUGCCACCUUGACCUUAAUUCAUGGGGACAGGUAAGAUCUGAACCUUCAUGUUGAUGGAUCAUGGCACAUACUUGCUUGAAUUUUGGAGACAUUUUCAACCACUCUUCGUAAAUUUUAAAGGUUAAUUACAGUGAGUUAAUCAAUAAAUUAUUGGAGAAAAUAGAGGUGAGCUUCUUUUCAAGUAAUUGGAUUAAGUUUGAAUCUGAAGUCAUUAAUAUUAGGAUUGUUUUACCUGAAUAUUACCUCUUAUCCGAACAAGAUUAGACUUAAAGUUUAGAAUGAAUAAAAAUACUUGUGGUUAUACUAAAAGAAUGAAAAUAUAUCCCUUGACUUUUACUUCGUUUUAAAAUGAUGUGGGCCGAUUUAUCUCCAUGUAAUUAUAUAUUAGAUUCUUUUCUAGAGUUUAAUUAAGCUAAUUUGGUAGAUAUAAUUAUUCUAUCUUUUUUCACUUGAUUUCAACGUUACUCAAAUUUGCAUAAUUUGAACUAGAACUUCUCUAAUAAUUUCAUGCUAAACAAGUUGGAGCUAUGAUAGUAUUGUAAACCGUAAAGAAUAGAGAUGAGAAAUGGGUUUGGUUUGAGUAGGCGGCUAAAUAUAGGCAGGAAUAUAUAGCAUCUCAGACUUCACUUUUGGGAUUAAAUUUUAGUUAAUUGGUGGGUCCAAAAUUCUAAAUUCAUGCAUAGGCAUAGGUAUCGCACGGUCAUAUUGAAAACGUUUUAGUUCAAAACUCUUGAUGCUGCUGCAAGUACAAGAUCAUCCCCUGUUUUUGCAAUGGCCGGAUUGGUUGUCUGGCAAAGCUCCAAAAAAAAAUUAGAGUAUGUCUCUAUUUUAGUGCUAUUUACAGGCGGGCCUGACAAUUUUAUAGCAAAGGAAAUAGGCAAUGAAGUCAAUAUACACAUGAAUGGUGGGCAAGCUGUUGCCAGACUUGUUCCAAAUCUAAAAUCAAACAUGAGAAUGCAUAGUAGAGUAUCCAGAAUUGCAUUUAGACUGACCAUAAGCUAUCCCCUAGAUUUUAGCUCUUCUUUAAAGAACAGGAUUAGUUUGGUUUCAGACAUGAUGUAAACUAAGAUAUAUGCUUUGAGUUUAUUUAAGUAAUUUGGAAUACUACAUAUAUCUUCCUGCUGCAAGACAAAGCUACGUAUAAGAAGAAGGUAUGCUAGUCCAUUUAAUUAAUUUAAUUCUAUUAGUAAGUCCUAUUGAUCUGAAGGUGCUUUGAGAGAAGUAAAUUAAGAAACAGCACGAGUCAUGGAGGCAUUUCUUCUUGCAAUGGUUAUGCUAUGCAUGUAGGUCUAAAAAAGUGUGCUAUUUUGCGGUUUCCACGCGCAAUAAAAUCCAGAUCUCUAAACGAAGAAAACUAAAAUUUCCACGCCUUCCUUUUCUAUUAUUGUAUGUAAUGAUGAGUGUUCAAUUUUUUUUUAAUUGUACGAAGGUUAGUAUUCAUACCAUACAAAUAGAGACAUACUCUAAUUUUUUAGUAUGCUUAAAGUUUAAUAAUUUAGUAUCAAAAUUUCAAGAAUUCAUCAAUAAUAAUUUUUAAAAACUUUAACAAUUUUACAAAUUGAUAUACGGACUAAGUAAAUCAAACUCCCACAAGUUCAAAAAUAUAAAAUUUAAAAAAAAUAAAAAUUGUUUAUCAAACAAGGGACCAAAGUUUGAAAGCUUCAACCCCUUUUUUUUUCGUGAAAAUGAAAAAAGAUGAGCAAGAAUGUCUUUUUUUCUUCUUUUAAUUUAAUAUAUAUACUUUCAUUAACUUUAAUUAAUUACAAUUUAUUGAAUUAAAUUAUAAUUAACUAAACAUCAAUCUAAAUUAAUUAAACAUAGUGGAUUGUGACGUCAACCACCAUAGUUUGAUACAUUUAGAAGGGUUCAAUUGCUUAAUUGAUCUUUCGGUUAAUUAAAAUUCUAUAAUGAUUAACUUUAAUUAGCUAUUCAAUUGAUAAAAUUAAGGGAUCAAAUUUUAAUUAAAUUUUAUAUUAACUUUACAAAUAUUAAUUAAUAAUAUUUACAGACUCGAACAUUGAAAAUGAGAUUUUAAAAUCACUAUUUCUGAUAUCACUGAAAAACAAACUAUUACAAUACAGACAAAUUAACAUAUCAAUCCAUGUCUGAAACACAAAAAUCUAGGCACCCAAGUAAAAUUUGCAUGCACAUCAUUUUACAUACCUCUAAAUUUGAUCCAAAAGUUCAAAUAAAAACAAAUCAUUGUAACAACAUGACAUAUAAGUGUCAAGAGACCAAACCAAUGAAAAGUGUCGAUAUAAAAUCCAACUAGGAUCCUUGUACAUGCCCAAACUAAAAAGAAAACUGCUAAAACUUAUUACAUAUCAGAGUAUAGUCGAAUGUACCCCUUUGCUAAGGUUGCUUGAGCCUCACAAGAUACGAAUCCUCAAUACCUGCGCACGAAAACAAUGUUCAGUGGUGCAAAACAUAUCUCCAAAUAUAUUAUAUGCUAAUACUAUAUUGUAAAGCAUACUAAAACAAUAUUAAAGUUAAAUAUUAUCAGACUCUAUUAAUCAUGCUUCAAAUAAGAACACAAGAUGACAUUAUUACAUAUUAAAAGUCCAUUAAUCAAUAAUUAUAUAAUUUUUAUGGCAAAACUAACAUUAACAUGUUUGAAAUCAUAUCACAAGAUCGUCCUAAACUCUAAACUCUAAUGCUCAAUGAAUCGAAAUUAAGCUCAUAAAUGAAUAUAUGGAUAUUCAUCCAAUUCUUCGAAAAGAUAGUGCAUAAGUAUAAAGAGGUGCACAAUAACAAAACUUCGAUACAUGUUGAACAUAAAUUACCAACCAAAAUCUUGAGGUUGCAUAAAACACUACAAAACAAAUCUCAUGAAUGCACAAAUGCUAACCUGAAACAGAAUAGCAACGACUCAAACAUACAUCCUAUGACAUGCCAACUAUACCAAAAACUAUCUAAAGUCGUUUAAAUGGGUUGUUAUCAUAUUAAACAUAAUUUGACAUUUACAAUCUAGUCACUUAUAGCACAUGAAUGAGCAGCAUCAUAAUUCCAGUAACCAUUUUCCAUUAAGUAGAAUUUAGUCAUUAACACGAACAUUCACUCCAUCAAACAUAAUACUAAGUAUAUGAUCACAUCAUUAUACCAUCAUCAACCAUACAUAACGUAGGAACAAAUUCUAAGCAUUUCAAUUUAGAUAAUAACAAAAAAUAAAUUGGAAAUUAAAUUGCACAAAUCGAAAUUGCUCAAGCUUCUGUGAUUUUCUCCUUCCCUUCGAUUUUGAAUUUUCAUCGACCUCUUUUACUUCAAAAUCAUUAUCAACAUAACAAGUUAGCAUAACAAUAAACAAAAAUCAAAGCCGCUAAAAAAAAGCAUGCGUUGCAAUCAAGCGAAACUCCUUCUCACUUCUAAAUCCCUCUCUAGGUAACUUUAUCCGAAACUUAAAUCUAACCUUAAAUUCAUACUUUAAGAACUUAAAACUAAGUUUAGAACACUAAAACCUCUACUGAGAACUCAAGAUUACAACACAUUCCUUUCAACAAUGACAAAACUUGACAACUCACCUAAGACUUCAAUCAAACUUGAGAUUUGACAUUCUAAAGGUAUUCUAAACUAAAGAACAUCAAGAAUCUAACUUGAAAACAACCAAAAACCAUUGAAUCAAGCCUACUCUCAUUAUAGAAAAAAUAACGUAAAUAAAGAGAAAAGAGGGUAAAUGCUUAAAUCAAAUCUUUCAAAGCUAAAGUCAAUUAAUAAGGUUUGAAAAUCAUAUUACCUUGCUAAAAAUCAAUGCUUGGAUCCAAGAAAACUCAAGAAUCAACUUUUUCCUUCAAUGGAGAAUUUUACACGAAAGUUAGAACUUUUUUUUUGGAAAAUAUGAUUUUCAAAAGAUAAAAUGUUAAAAUGUUUGGAUAGAAAUCUACUCAAACAAAGCUUGCAUCCUUGAAGUCUUGUUUAUGAGAAAAUAAUUUGAAUGGUGAAAUGAUAAAUGUUAUAUUGUUCCCUCCAACUACUCUAGACUAAUGGGCCAAUUUCUAUUUAUUCCCUAAUCUAAUUCUUAUAUAAACCCUUAUAAAGCUCUAAAUCUAAUUUAAAUGAAUUUAGAUAUUGACCCAAAGAAUUUUACAACCCUUGUGAUCAAGUCCUCACUUCACUACCCACUAAUUAAUAUCAAUUAAAACAUAAUAAAUGCACUAAAUAUUUACUACUUGACUCACAACUCAACCUAAGGCUCAUUCAAGAAUAGCUCAAUUCAUAAUUUCGAUUCAAAAUCAAUCUUUUUCCGAUUUUGGAAAAAAUUAGGGUUUUAUAAAUGACUUUACAAUGUUAACCCAAUAUUGCCUUUAAUGACCCAUAUUUACAAUUCUAGCCCAUACAUAGAAUUAGGCUCACAUCAAUACCCUUCUUGCAAAGAAUCCUAGUAGUCAAGGAUUAAAGCUUGUGAUCUCAUCACCUUCAUGACCAUAGGCGUACAAAAUAGUCGUUAUAGGCAUGUACAUCUCCUAGUAAGUAAUGAAAGAAUGAUCCAACGGAGAGAGGAGUUGUAAGAAAUGGUUCCAAUAACAAUUUAAUUCUUUUUUUUUAUAUCGUUUAAAUGGUGCUAAUAUGACAUUUUAAAAGUGUCACAUAAUCACAUGCUUUUCUAAAGAAAGAAUUAUAUAAAAAAUUAAAAGUUUUUUAUGAAUGCAUGUUUAUAAUGAACUUGGACAAAUGAACGUUCAAGUUCAUCCAAGUCUAAAUAAUCAUUUAUCUAGAUUAAUUUUAGACGUGAUAUUUUAAAUAAUUAUAUAUAUAUAUUUUUGUAAUUUUAUAAAAUAAUAAUUUCAAAUAAACUCUCACCUUAUAGAAUUUUUUGAAUUUUGAGGAGAUGAACUUAGGUGUCCAUUUGUUCAGGUUAAUUAUGAUUAUGCACUUUUCAAUAUUCUUUUACAUUUUUCUUCAUUUAAAAAAAUUAAAAUAAGUUUUUAAAUUUUUUAAAUCUUUAUGAUUUUAUAUAUAUUUUAAAAUAAUUUUUAUAUAUUCUAUAACUUUCAACAUUUUUUGAUUAAUUUUAUAAUUUUUAUAAAUUUCUAUUUUCGAAUAUAUAUUUUUGAAUUCCAAAACUUUUAAAAAUUUUCUAUAAUUUUAAUUAUAGAUUUAAAAAAUAUAAGGGACGUGAUGCUGUGUUGAUAUCUUGCUGCGGUAGUGUUGUGGGACUUGGUGAGUAGUGGUUGUUUUGUGGUUUGGACGUCUGUCCAUCAUCAGCUAGGAACUAGAUAGUUUCUGUUUGAGUGGGCUUUACUCCAUUUUGUUUUUGUGAGUUCUAAGGGCCCAAGGGGCUUGACUCGGUCUGGGCCUCUAACUAAAAUAAUAGUAAGUUUAGAGUCACAUGCAUGUUAAUCUGACUUUUCAAGAACUUUGUAUAAGAGUUGCAAUAUCUUCAUAACAAUAUGUACUUGGACAAUAAUGAUUGAUUUUGCUUGGGAUUGGAGUUAACUGAGGUUUAUUAUUAUUUUUUCAAUAAUUUUAUUAUAGAUUUUAAUUAUAUCUAAUCUUUUUAACAUAAUGUCUAGAAUUAUUCAUAGUCCAUUCUCAACCUAUAAAUAGGAAGAUAACUCGUUUCAACGCACUCAAACCCACGUCUUUCUACAUUGACAACUAUACUCAUACUAAUCAAUCGAUAACUUAUAGAUAAGUACUUCCUAAUGAUACAAUGAUUAUUAGGUGAAAUUAACCAAUGAUGUACUUGUUCUAACUAAUUAUGCUUUAAUACUAUUGAUGAUCUGGAAAGGCUAAUGUGAAUGUUAAUAAAUAUUUUAGAUUUCGUAGACGAAACUACUAAGAUGGCACCUACUAGCAGGAUAUCUAUACCUUAACUAAAAGUCUUCUCCUAAACCAAUAGAAUUUCGGAAUUUUGAUUUGAGGGUGUUUGAUUAAGCAGCUAAGCAGUGGGGAAAUAUGAUUGAAAGGGUAGUUAACAGAUAAAGUUUUCCAUUCUUUCUUUUUAAGUUAAAAGUUUUAUUAUAAAAAAAUAUUUUGUUAUAUAUGUUAAAAAUUAGGGGAGAAGAUUACAUUAACACUGCUGAACCAGAUUUCAAAAAAGGAAUUUAAUUACUGCUCAGGUACGUCAUUAGAGGUAUCCAUCGGAGUGAGCCUAAUAACUAAUACUUCAUAUUUUAUAGGCUUAUUAAGAAGGCAGAUGCUAACCACAAGAAUUUUUAUUUUUAAUUUCUUUACUUCGAGUAUUUUUGAGAGUAAGCGAAGUAUUAUUGUAAUUAUUAUGUUAUAUAGUUAUUAUUUUUAGUUUUAUAUAUUGUGUUUUAAUUUAUUUUAUAUUUUGCAUAAUUUAUUAUGUUAGUUCAAUUUAGAAAAUUAAAUUGUGUAUUUGUGUCGGUAUAUCAUAUAUUGCAUACUUCAUAUAUAUCUUACAUAGUAAUUCAUUUUGAUUCUAAAUUUAUAAACUUAGAAGUUAAACUAAUGCAUAUAAUAUAUAUUUGUAUAAUUAAAUAAAAGUUAUCUAAAUGCAUGAGAUAAUUUUUAUGGAGCGGUUGUUAAAAUUUUUGUGAAACACCUAUUUGGUAUGGGUUUGAGUCGUGUUACCCUCAUCCCUUACCUUAAUAUUUUAUAAAAAAAAUGACUGCGAAUGAUUAAUUUUUAACCACAUGUGUCAUUAAAAUUAUUUUGGAGAUAAAUAUGUAUUAGGUCAUUUGUUAUGAAUAUCUUAUUAUUAAGUGGAUGUCUAUCAAGAUCAAUAUAAGCUUAGUGUACUUUAGGACUCUAAUAUUCAUUAGAAGUAUAAUUUUAUUUUAUUUAUAUUUCUUACAUUUAUAAAUAUAGACUUUAGAGAAGCAUUGUAAAUAACUUAUUGAUCAAUAAAAAAUCGUUCUCUUUUGCACUCCUAUUUCUUGUUCUCUAUUCAUUAUUUAUUUCAUAACAUAUUAUCAUCACGAUACUCGAUAAAAAAAAUACUGUCUAAAAACUCGCCCACGAGAAAAAGUUUUUUUAGCUUCUUUAAGCGUUAGCCAUUUGAGAUUUUUUGUCAAAUUUUGUCAGGGAAAAGAAACCUACUGUUACUAAAGAGAGUUGAGCUUAGGUCCCAAGUCUCCAUGGUCGUUUAACCACUUAUCUACGCACGAACCAUUACUAGUUUAUUUUAAGAAACUUAUAAAAUCAAUUGCUGUCGGAGAAGAAAAGAAAGAAAGAUCGCUAUACAAGGGAAUCUGUAAUACCCCUAACCCAUAUCCUUUGCCAGAACAGGGUUACGAGCAUUACCAGAAUUUACAGAUCAAUUUUAGUCAUUUAAUAUCAUUUAAAUAUUCAUAUCAGAAUCUAAUCAUAAUCAAUCAUAUUGUCCCUUAUAUGAGCCCUCGAGGCCCAAAAUAUGUAUUAGAAACAAGUCGAGACUAAAUCGGGUACUCAAAGAAUUUUUCGCCAAAUAUCAAAAAAAAUUUUAAGGUAUAGGGGACACAUGCCCGUGUGGCCAGGCCGUGUGUCUCACAUGGUCAAGAGACACGCCUAUGUCUCAAGCCAUGUGGACAUUCGAAAUAGGGGCACACGGCUGUGUGUCUCACAUGGUCAAGAGACACGUCUGUGUCUCAGGCCGUGUGGACAUUCGAAAUAGGGGCACAUGGCCGUGUCCCAGCCCGUGUCCAAAUUAGAGUGCUUAUUGACUUGGGUUACACGGUCAAGCCACACGCCUGUGUGCUAGGCCGUGUGAGCAUACUAACUUGCAAUAAAUAGGUGCAUGGGUCACAUGGCCAAGUCACACUCCCGUGUGUUAGGCCGUGUGAAAAAUUUUGGGUAUUCUGUUUUGAAAUUUUAAAGAUGCACGGGACACACGGCUUAGCACAUGAGCAUGUGACUUGGCCGUGUGACCCUUGCACCUAUUUAUUGCAAAUUAGUAUGCUCACACGGGCAUGUGGCUUGGCCGUGUGACCCAAGUCAGUAAGCACCCUAAUUUGGACAUGGGCAUGUGGCUUGACCGUGUGACCCAAGUCAUUAAGCACCCUAAUUUGGACACGGGCUGGGACACAACCGUGUGCCCCUAUUUCGAAUGUCCACACGGCCUGAGACACAUAUGUUUCUCUUGACCGUGUGAGACACACGGUCGUGUGCCCUUAUUUUGAAUGUCACAAAUAGCUGAGACACACGCUCGUGUCUCUACCCAUGUGGACGAAAAUAGGUCAUUUCUAAGGCCACUUUUCUCACCCAAUUUGUCUUUUACCUACAUUAACACUUCAACACUUUCACCAUCCAAUACAAGACAUUUAACUCAAGUCAAAACCAAGUUUAACACAUAUCAUAACACCCCAUAUGUCCAAGUAUUCAAUCUUACCUAGAUGACCAUAUAAACAUAUAUGCAUAUUUUUCCAAUCAUGUUAUCUCAAACCAUUCAUCAAUAUACCCAUAAAUUAUCCAUUCUUAAUCAUAUCAAACACAACUAAUAUGAUAAGGACACACAUAUUUACAUAUCAAAAUAUGUCCAACUCAAGCCAUUCUAAUGGCUAUUUAACAAUAAAAUAUUUUAAAGCUAAAAUUGGCCAAAUUACCCUAUACAUGCCAUUAUAACCAAAAUUAGUUUUCUAUAUAUAUCGAAAUGGGCUGAUGGAUAGUGUGAGAUAUCUCUGCCAAGCUUCCAACCCAACGAGCUUUUAAAGUACUAUAAAAUAGAGGAAAUAAAACAGAGUAAACAUUUAAUGCUUAGUAAGUUCGUAUAAUGGGAAAUUAACUUACCAUUCAUUUACAUUUAAGUAUACAAAAUACAUCCAAAGUAAAUUGGCUAAUAGCCUAAACACAUAACUUCAUCAAAUAUGUUUGUCAUUUAUUUCACAUGAAUAUCAAGAAACAUGUAUGAGCUCAUCAAAUAUCAAAUUUCCAUGUAUUCUGUGUAUAUAUAGAUAAUGAUUCACUUUGAAUUCAUAUAUUUUCUCAUAUAAGGAUUUUACUCGUUGAAUCAUUUAAAAUAUCGAUGGAUACACGGGUAGUACACACGAAGUGUGCAAAUCUGAAAUCCGUCAAUUCAUAUUCGGGAAUGCUUAUACGAGCACAUAAACGAGAAGCUCUUUCAAGCCAUAUAACGGGAAGCUCAAGUGAGUCGUGUAACGGAAAGCUCCGGAGAGCCAUUAACGGGAAGUUCAAGCGAGCCAAUAUCGAGAAGCUCCAGAGAGCCAUUAAUCGGGAAGUUCAUAAGAGCCAGUUAUCGGGAUGCUUUGAAGAGCUAAUUAUCCAGAAGCUCAUAAGAGCCAUAAACGGGAAUCUCGUAAGAACCAUAUAACGGGUAGCUCUGGAGAGCCAUAUAUCAGGACGCUCAUAAGAGUUGUGGUGUGUCCACAACAUAUGCAGGAUCACAACCAAUCAGGAUACUCCGAAGAGCUAUUAACGAGAAACUCGUGAAAGCCAAAUAUCGAGACACUCGUAAGAGCUAUGGUGUGUCCACAACACAUGCAAGACCAUAACCAAUUUAGGAACCCUGUAUCCAUCGAAUUUCAUUUGUACAAACGGAACUUAAUUCUUGUCAGACAUUGUCGGAUAUGUGAUUGAUUUUAAUAUAUGAAAAUUACACAAUUCACAUACAUAACAUUCAAUUCAAACAUAUAAUUAUACAAUUUAGUUACACAAACUUACCUCGACAAUAUUCGUGAACUUGUAAGCUAUUAAUCCAAUACUUUUUCUUUUCCUCGAUCUAGCUCCGUAUUAGGUCCAUUCGGAUCUAUACGAAUGAAUUUUAACAUCAAUUUAUAUUCAAUUCAAUUCAAUCCACAUCUUUGGAAAAAUUACCAUUUUGCCCCUAUAUUUUUAUUUAAUUACAAUUUCGUCCCUAGGCUCGGAAAAAUGAAAUUCAUGCAAUCUAAUUGUAAUAGCCCGAUUUAGACCCUAAUCGGACAUAGUGGUUUCGGGACCACAAAUCCUAGUUAAAAAAUAUUUUAAUAUUAUUUUGUGUGUUUAUUAUGUGUGAAUUUAUAUCCAUGAAAUUUUCGUAUUUUAAUUUUGUUGUUUGAGUGCCGAUUUAAUAAAAAAGGUUUAAUCGCGUAAAAUGAAAAUUUAGGGGUUAAAUCCAAAAGGGUCGAAUAGUGGUUGUUCUUUUAAUAUGGAGUCUUUAUUUUGUAAUUUAGCCAUUUAUAAGAUAGUGGGUGGCAAUGGACUAAAAUGACCUUAGUGUAUAUGUUUUCUAUUUUAAUUAGUAAAGGUUAAUUUAGUAAUUGAAUAAUAAUAUAUAUGUGAUAAUAAAUAAAGCUAUUAUGUUCAUCUUCUUCACCGAAUGUUGAAAAGAAAAAGAGAGUUUGAAAGCUUGAAACAUUCGACCAUUGUUGGAGCUUAAAUUAAGGUUAGUUUUUGAUCGGUUUUUGAUAAUUUUUACGUUUUUGAGAUCGUUGCUUUGUGUUCUUCAAAACCCAUGCUUUAAUUUUUGGAAUUUAUGAUGAUUUUGUGAUGUGCCAUUGAUGAUAGUUUGUGAUUUUUGUUGGUUGAUGGUAGAAAAUAAAAGAUAUGUAAUAGAUUAUAAUGUUUGUUUUUAAAUUUUUGAUGAAUUUGAUUAUUUUGAGUUAAAAUUGAGGGACUAAAUUGUGAAAUAAAUGACAUUCAAGGACCUAUAUGAGACUAGGGAAUAUUCGGCCAAACUACAUUGUGAUUAAAUUGGAAUAUUUUGUGUUUUGUGCAAUUUGGACUGAAUUGUAAAAAUGUUAAAUAUUAGGGGUAAAAUGGUAAAUUACCCAUUUAUGUGUUUUUGGAUGAAAUUGAAUGAAAUUAUGUUUGAAUGAGUUAAAUUUGAAUGUGUUAGGAUCAAGAAUUAAAGAAAUCGGACUUGGAUCGGGGGAAAAAUAAAGUCGACGAUUAAUCGUUCCGUUCCGGUUUAUUGUUACCCGAGGUAAGUUUAUAAUCAAAUAGAUGUUAUAAUUUUUGAAUAAAUAUUAGUUAUAUAUGUCGAAAUGAAAGUAUGCAAAAAUAUAUAGCUGAAUAUGUUUUAGUCGAAAAAUAGAAAUAGACGUGAAUGUGAUUUAUCAAUAUUUAGCACUAAGUGUGUGAGUAUGGGAUAGCUACAACUAUAUGAAUGGCACUAAGUGUGCGAAACUAAAAUGACGAUGUUGAAUAAUGGGCACUAAGUGUGCGAAAUUAAAAUGAUGAUGUUGAAUAACGGGUACUAAGUGUGCGAUACCGAGAGCAUUUUGGUUAGAUGAGAAAGAGCACUAAGUGUGCAACUUCAUUAUGGUCUCGACCAAUUAUUUAGUACAUGAUAGGUCAAGUAUGCAAUGGUUGAAUAAUAUAUGAUAUCAAGGUAAGUUAGUUACUUCAACUGUGAUAAUUAAAUUUUGCAAGCUCGAAUGUGUAUAUAUAUAUGAAUAUGAUUGCAUUAUUCGAUUUUGUUAUUGAAUUAUUAACGUCAUUGAAUUGUUUAAUUGCUUAUAACUUACUAAGCUAAAUUAGCUUACAAUGUGUUGGAUAAUUGUUUUGAUGUAUAGAUUUUGGUGAUCGCUACGUGUUUGGGGAUCGUCAGCUAAGCUCAUCACACUAUCGAUAUCUUUUGGUAUUUUGCUAAAUUUUGAAUUCGGUCGUAUGGCAUGUAUAGACUAGUUUUGGAUUUUAGCUUAAUUUGAUAGUGUGUGUGUGUAUUAAAGCCAUGCGAAAAUGGCUUAAUAUCCUGUUAUGUUUGUUUUGGAUUGGAUUAUGAAUCAUACAUGACUUGAUAAUAGUUUAGUAUUUUAUGGGUAAUAUUUCACAUGCGAAUAUUAUGUGUGGUUUAUUUGGUUGGUAUCAAAGUGAAUAUAUAUUAUAUGAUCUAUAAUAAAUGUAAUUUUAAAAGAAAAAAAAUGUUAAUGUCUAUGUACAUGUUUGUGGUUGUUUAUUAUGUUUGAUAGGUUAAAGAGAUUACCAAGAAUUAUAAAAGUGAUAUUUGUUUUGUAUCUUGGAUUAAUAAAGUAUUGAAAUAGAAUAUGGAAUUAGGAAGUGAAUUAUGUUGAGCAUUUGUGAAUAUGCAUGAAAAUGGUUAUUUCGUUUAUAUGCUGUUAAAAUGGUAUAUGGUUUGAUGUUUAAACAUUGGCUUUUGUUUGAUAAUUUGAUUAGUAAAAAUAGGUUGUUUUGGCGUUUAAUGUAAUAAAAAUAAAUUAUAUACUUAUAAUAAGACAUGAAUUUUGGUUGUAUAAUUAGAACAUGUAUAUUUGUUUUACAUUUGGGAAUGAACUGAUUUGGUUAUAGGAGAAGCUAAUUACUGAAUACAUGUUAAAUUAUUUUGGACAUUUUUUUUAAAGAGAUGUAUGUGCGGUUUGAUAUUAGUAUGUAUAAAAUACUUUUAUUGUAUAAUUUAAUUUUGGUAAAUAAUACUUGGCUAAUCAUAAUUUCAAAUUAUAUGAAAUUUUAUUUGGCUUGUAUAUUCUUUUCGAAAGGGUGAAUUAACAAAUUUAGUAACUAUGUGACUUGAUUAUUAUAACGUAAUUAGUUACUCUAUUUUAUUUAAAUAGGCUUGGUCAUAUUAAUAUAAAAUGCUAUUGGUUAAAUAUUUUAUGUGCAAUGAUUGAGUUUGUUUAUUUAUUUAUUAUAUCUUUUAUUAUUAAUGCUGAUUAUUAAAUUAUGAUUGAAUAUUUAAAUAUGUUUUUAAAUAGUUAAAUUUGUCGUGGUUACAAAAGUAGUAUUGAUCUUGAAUGAUAAAGAAUGUUUAAUAAUUAUGUCAAAUCGUGCCAUGUCCGGUAAUGCCUUAUAACCCUAAUCUGACGACGGUUACGGGUUAGGGGUGUUACACUAAUCCUUAUUCCAAGCCUAGCCAAUUUUUACAUAUAACAUGAACAUCCCAUGUAUUUCACAAAAUUUAGAAUUUUUCAUAAAUUUUACAUCUUUUUGAUUUAGUCCUUAAAUCAUAAUUUCAUCAAAAUUCCCUUUACAAAAGUUGUUUAUCUAUCAACAACCUUUCAAUUUCUACCAUAAAACUUCAUAAUUCAACUAUAUUCAUUCAUGGAAAAUCCCUAGUACUUUGAUAGCUUUGCAAAUUAUCCCCGAGAUAGCUAGAUUAAGCUAUUACGAUAUCAGAAAUAUAAAAAUCAUUAAAAACGAGACAAGAAUAGUAACCCAAUUGAGCCAAAUAAGCUUGCUAACUUCAAGCUCUUCUAACUAGGGUUCCUAUGUCUUUUAUUUGAGAAAGAUGAUAUAAAAUAAUGAUAUUAGAUUUUUAUUUUAUUUAUCAUCUUUUAUUUAUUUACUUUCCAAUUUAGUCCUUUUCUUUAUUAAAUUUUCCAAGGAUGAAUCAUCAUACUUAUCUACUAACUCCUCCUAAUGGUCUAUUUGCCAUUUAAAGACCUCAAAUUUUGAAUUCCAUAGCUAUUUGACACCUAUAACUAUUAGAACUCAACUUUUGCAUUUUUGUGCAAUUUGGUCUUUUUUUAUCAGAUUAGACAUGAAAUCAGUAAAAUUUCUUUACGAAAUUUUCCUACGAUAUUCCUAUCAUACUAUAGACCAUAAAAUAAUAUUAAAAUAAAUUUUCUUCCGACCUCGGAUUUGUGGCCCCAAAACCACUGUUCUGAUUUUACUAAAAACGGGCUGUUACAAAAUCAAACGUGUAGCCACUAGUAACACCUAUUAACUUUUUUUAACAUUCAAGCACUCAAAGAUUUUUAAAUUUUUGGUGCCAAGAAAUUUAUAAAAACCAAUUCAUCUUAUCUGGUAUGUUUUCUUUCCUAUUUUUUUUGGUAAAUUGUUUUAUGAAAAAAAAUUACUUUAAAGUUUCUUUCAAACUAGAGUUUAUUUUGUCCACUAUAUUGGUACCUGAGCCUAAUUCCAUUACUUUUUACUGACGUGGCAGCGCUAACCAUUCGCACACCGCAAUGUGUCACUAUGUUUGUACUUUUUCCUUUUUAUUUUUUUUCAUUUUCCCUAUUUUUUCUUUUCUUCUUUUACUUUUUCCUACCCUAGCCGCAAUGUCUAACAAGCAUUGCAAAAUCAAUAACAACUUUCAAUUCAAGAAAUAACAUUGACAUGGAUGGCAACAAUGCCUCAGCCGCCAUAGCAGUGGCAAGAGCCACAAAGCAAAUAAAAAUCUAAAAAAAUCUAGGAGAACGAAGUUGACAAGAGGCCGCCAUUCUCCUUUUGUCGUUUCUCUCUUUGGAUUCUGCUAAUGGCGAAGCCAAUGAGAGGUCGUCGUUCUCCUUCUGUCUCUGGCUUUGACUCCUCUUCUCGUUCUCGUUCAUGGUUUAGCCUUAAGAGGAUGCCUUCGACCAUGUAGCGGAAAGAACCGUCGAGGACAUUGAAAGUAGCGGAAUCUGACACCAAAACUUCAGAUUUGGCAGAGGGAGCAAGCUUAUAAGACUUUUUUACUCCGGUAAGCUCUUCGACCAACAAUGAUAGCAAAAUACUCAUUUCCUUCCUCUUGUAAGCACUAACUUUAAUUUUUAAUGAUUUCACAUUUAAAGCUUCACAUCCAAAAUGAAUGAAAUGUAAAACUUAGAAGGAAACUAAAGAGGGAGGAAAUGAGUUAUCUGGUGUUGUCGUUAGCUCACCGGAGGAGGCUAAACAAUGGCCUAGAAGUAGUGUAGAAGCAGAUGACUAGGGUAGGAAAAGAAAAAGAAAAAAAAGGGAAGAAGAAAACAAAAGAAGAAAAAGGGAAAAUGAAAAAGAAAAUAAAAAAAGGUGCAAAUAGGUGACACGUGGCGACAUGCGAAUGGUCAGCGUUGCCACGUUAGUAAAAAAGUAACGGCGUUAGGCUCAAGUACCAAUAUAGUGAAUGGAAAAAAAAGUUCGAGUACCAAUUUGGGACAAAAAAAAUCAUAAGUACCAAUAUGACAGAAGUGGACAAGUUUGGGAACCAAUUUUAUAUUAAUCCUAUUCCUUAAAAAGAACGAAACAUAUGUCUCGUAGACAAUACAACAAUGCAUACUAUUUUAAGGAUAAAAAAACAUUUUUAUUGUUCCGUAAUGAAACAAACUAAACUUUAGUAGUACAAAAUUAAUUUAAAGCUUCAGAAGAGCUAAUAUAAUGUUACCCUAUCUUCAAUAAGGCAAUGAAACACGUUAAUAUUAUGUAUUACAAAAUUAAUUCAAGGCUCUAGAAGAGCUAAUACGUUGUUAUCCGAACAAACAAAAUAAUGGUUAAUGUAUCAUGUUCUAGUCAGUCUCAAAAAAAUUAUUUUGUUUUAAAAUAUAUUCUCAUUGAUGGAUCUCAUAUUGAGAUUGUAUCUUAUAUUGAGAUUGUGAAUGAGAAAAAAAUAUUUAGUAUGAAUCACUCUUGCUAUAAAUAUCUACAUCUUUUGAUAGAGAAAGAUUAAGUUAUUGAAUUAUAUUAUGCAUGAUACUUGGAUACCUAUCUUUAUUUUGAAAAUGAUAGAGAAAGAUUGAGUUUUGAUUGUCAAAGAUCCACUUGAACUGUGGAUUAAUUUAAGAGAAAUAUAUGACCAUCGAAAUAUGAUAAAUUUAUCUAAAGCUCGUUAUGAUUGGAUGUACUUGAAGUUACAAUAUUUUAAAUUUGUAAGUGGGUAUAACUUUUAAGUAUUUAUGAUGAGUUCUCAAUUAUGUUGGAAUAAUAUUACUAUUGAGAACUUAUUAGAGAAAACCUUUUCAACUGUUCGUGCUCAAAUGUGCUCCUACAUUAGCAAUACCAUGAAAAUAAAAUGUUUAAAGAUAUAUUAUGAAUUAAUGUCAUGUUUACUUAUGAUUGAUUUAAAUAACGAGUUAUUAAAUGAAAAAUCAUUAAGCCUGUUGUAUUAGAUAUCAUUUUAUGAAGUGAAUGUAGCAAUAUAUAAAGAUGCAAUCUUUGAAGUGGAAAUGGUAAGUGGUUUUAUAAUAAUCGUAAAAAAGAUGGUCAUAAUAAUUCUUCUCACCGCUAGGAGUAGAAAAAUGAAGAUAAUGUGGAGACUGAUAAUAAGAUUACUGUUAAAAUUAAGUUUAGCGGUUUCAUCCUAUAUUCCAACUUUUAAUUGUUGUUCAUUUAUGAUAUGCUUAUACUACAGUUUGCUUAAUUUUGCACAUAUAUAUACAAAUGAAAAUUUGUUUGUGCGAAUUUUGAAAAUUGAUAGAUUUCAUUUGCAAUAGAAAUGCACGUGGUUUAGGCUAUGAUUUUAUUGUAUUGAGUUUAAUGUUUUAUAUUUGGAUGCUUCAAAGACAAAAUUUAUAAUUACCUCUCAACUUAUUAAUUUGGUGUUUUCUUCAAUGCAAUACUAGUAUAUCUACUUGUAUGGUCAAAUCACAUGCGAUGGUAAACUAGAAGUUUAUCUUAGUAUUGUUGAAUCACGUGCAUAGUAAAUCAAAGUUAUUAUUAGUCCAAAUAUACUAAUUAAUUGACAUGAUCGGUUAAACCAUCUUAAUAAAUAAUGAUACGCCAAAAUAAGAAUUUAGAUGAAAGUUUAUUAAGGAACUCGAAGAUUCUUUGUUUUAAAGAUCUUUUAAGUGUUGUUUUUUUCUCAAAGAACAUGAAUUAUUAGAACCUCUCUAACAAAAGUUGAGAUUGAAUCUCUAGUAUUUCUGAAAGAAAUAUGGGCCCGUUUAUCUAAUAAGUGGAUGUUUUGACAUAAUUUUGGUAGAUGCAUAUACAAGUUAAUCUCAUGUGAGUUAUUAACUUGCAACUUGUAGUUUGCGAGAUUACUUGUUUAAUGAUUUGUUUAAGAACAAAACUUUAAGAAAUGCAAUCGAGAUAAUUUUUGCUAACGUUGGUGAGUUUAUUUCUCAGGCUUUCAAUGAUUAUUGAAUGUUAGAUUUUUAGUGCGAGUAACAAUCGCAAAAGAUCUGUUGUUUAUACGUAUGGUUUAGCAAAAUUUAUGAAGUAAAUGUCUCUAACUAGUAACUAAAUCAUAUCUUUUGAGAACAAAACUUUUGUAUAUAAAUAAGGAUAUGAUAUUUUACAUGAAGCGUCACUUGUACGUAUCAUGCCAAUAAAUUAUGCUAAAAACUCCCCAUUACAAUUGGCUUUUGGUGAAGAUCCAAAUAUAACCCAUUUUAAAAUUAGAAGUUUUUAAUGUGCGUAUAUGUUUAAGUUGCUCCACUACAAUGCGCAAAUAAGUAUUUAAAGAAUGUUGAGAAUAUAUAUUAAUUAUAAAUCUUCUUGUAUUAUUGGAUGUUAUGAAUGAAUUAGAGAUUUAAUUAUGAUACGAGUUUAUUACUUUUUUGAUUUGACAAUUUUUUUAAUAUCAAGGAGAGCGAAAUAAUAGUUGGAUGAAAUAAUUACUUGGAAAGAAAAUAUAGAUUCUCGUAGAAAGUAAUUUGAACUAGAAGUUUAAAAAGGAUAAUUCAUUUUAUAGCAAGUUAACCGUUAGAUGUAUUUAUUGACCUGAUGAGAAUAAUCAAGUGUUAUAUACCAACAAAUGUUUUUAUUUGAACCGAAGUCUCAUUAGAACAAUAUGCUAGAAUAAUUGAAAAUAAUGCAGGCUUGAAGUAUGGUAAACCUAUUGGUUUCAAAUAUGAAAAUUCUUGCAAAAAAAAUCAAUAUGGUUAAUAAUGGAGGCGGGUGCUCCUGAAGAGACUCAAGACAUAACUAAUUAUUCAAAAUCUAAAUAUAAAAACAAUAAAAAAAAAGAGAUCUCAAUAAGUUAUGUCAAUACGAGAAAGUAUGGAAUCGUGGAAAAUAGAAAAUUGUCGAUAAUGAUUUUGCAUGCAAUAUUAUUGUUGAGACAAUGAGGAGACGCAAUAUUAUUGUUGAGACAAUGAGGGGGAUCUUGAAUAAAAUUGUCAAGAAACAUAGACAUGAGUAGAUUGGCCAAAAAAAAAAAAAACAAAAACGCAAUUCAUGUAGUAUGAAAUUUGUGAAGUUUGUGGACCAGUAGUCCAAACAUCUUAAAUGUAGAAAGUUAAUGUGGUUCAAAUUAUGAGAAGAUAUAAUAUUCUUUUGUGGUUGAUGCAAUAACUUAUAUAUAUAUUAUUAAGUCUAGCAAAUUAUGAAAUAUUUGACAUGGGUCUUAUGAUUGUUGUUACAGUAUUUAUGCGAAUCACUAUAUAGUGGAAGUUUAUAUUAAAAUCCUUGAAGGAUUUAGAACACUGGAAGUAUAUAGAAAUUCUCAGGAAAUUAUUUGAUACGUUUGAGUAAAUAUUUAUAUGAAUUAAAUUGAUUUGAACAUAUGUGAUAAAUUCGACUUAGUGAAUAAUAGUUAAAGUAAUAUUAUAAUCCAACUUUCGCAUGUAUAGAGGGAUCAUGAUCAAAGUUUACUAAGAUUAUUGUUGGAACUCUUGAAGAUAUUAAAAUAUGCUUCCCCAAAAGUAUUCAUCACUCAUAACUUUCAGAAGAAUGAUAAUAUAAAUAUUUAAUAUAAGAUCAAGAUGUAAACAUAAUUUAGAGAGAUUUAAAAUUUUGUUUGAUAUUUUGGAUUUUGAUUUAGUAUAAAUAUAUUUUAUCUUGCAUACUUAUAAAAUUUAUCUUAAGAGUACGUCGCAUUGUUCUGUUCCGAAUUCUUGAAACAAAAAUAAAAAAAAAAGAUGAAGAAAAGAAUGUUUAGAGGAAUAUUUUGGUUUAAAUAUAAAAUAAGAGAUAAAAGCAUUCUGCCUUGGAAGGGGAAGUUGCAUUGAUACGAUGGGCUUGGGAGAACUCAAAUCUCCCAACAUGUGAAACAAAAUGGUUUGUAAAUAAGACAAAUUAAUGCACCACAUCGUAAAAUAUAGUCGUACGUGAAUUCAUAUAUUGGAGAAUAUAGCAAAAACAUGAUCGUCAUUCGUCUCUUUCUGUAUGAAAACUGCGACUCAAAUAUCAAUCUCUCUGGUCCCGACGGGAUAUCGGCUUUGCUUUUGCCAGCUGUAAUCAACAACGUUUCGCUUCACUCUCCUGGUUUUAAAUUCGAAAUUCAGCAAACAUACAUACAUACAUAAUGUUCAUGAAAGAUUAUUUCGCAGUGGAAAUAGAGACCAAAUAACUUAAAAGAGGAGAGAUACUUGCAACUUAGGUUCCACUUCCCAGAAGAGAGAAAGAAGCUAUACAUACAUACAUGGAUAUAACCCCACCAUAGCCACAGAGGUUGAUUUAUAUAAUAUAAAUUAGCAUGAUACCAAAACAUGCUCCCCAUUUCCAUUAAUGUGGGCAAAUUACAUGGAAAGGAAAACCGAACCUCCACUGUACGCACGUCUUCAUAGCUUAACAACAAAAUCUAAAGCGCAGUUGUGGACCAAAACAAAAGAUCCUUUCCUUUUUCCAAAAACGCAUAACUAAACUCUAAGCAGGUAAACACUGAGCUCAGGGCCUCCGGAACCAUCAGGAUUCAUCAUGUAAAAGGCUUCCGAGUCUUUAGACCCUACAACCCUCUCGAACUUGGCUCUCAUGUACAUCAGCUCACCUUCGGACCCAGCUCCAUUGUCAUUGCAGUUUCCUGGUAGCACACCCGCACCCAUUGAAAUUGGCUCCACCGCCUUUAACACUUUCCACUCUUCGGCUCCGCACUCGCGCCUCAUUGCGAACCCACAUUUCUUUCCAUUGCAGUAAGUCCUCCAAACAGGCUCAUUCAGCAACUUCACCCCUUUCUUCCCCAUCUUCUUUUCACACUCUAAGGCAAUUCGAACCAAUCCAGAAGCCAUUUCCCGAACUAAAACACUAGUCGGUGUUGCAAGUUGGAUUAAAAAUGCUGGACUUACUUUUGCUUCUUCUUGAAAUGCAAAGUGGACGUGACCACGCCGAUAUCCGAACAGGGUUCCAACAACUCUGGUGCCUAAACCUGAACGAUAUGCUGAUGUAUUCUUCCCAAACACACUGAGAGCCGACCGAAGUCUGGAAACUGACACAAUUGGAAGCUUCUUUCUUGGUGGUGGAACUAAAGAAACUCGACUGGCCACUGGGAUUCGGAGCUCCUCUGCUUCCUUAGCUUCCUCAGAAAAAAGCGAGGAGGAGCUGAAGGUUAGGAUUUCUUCCUCGUUGUCAUCAUCAUCUUCCACCUUCUUUUUCCAGUUGAAAUAUCUCCUGGAGAAGGAGAAAGAAGAAUCGUGGGGGCUCUUGGCUGUGAUUGUCUUCAUAUGUGAAGGAAAGAAAGAAGGAACUAAGCAACUCCUAGAGCCUUUGAUAGUCAAGUUUCGGUGAGUAAAGAGAGAAACUGGUAUAUAUAAAUAAAAGAGUGUGACUAUGUAUCUAUUAACUUUUCAGUAGUUGUGGGGUGGAUUUAUUCUUUGCGUCUUAAUGCCUUUUUUGUCAGCAUUGUAGGAUUGAGGGGGGACUUGCAAGGAAAUCCUGACAAGGGCGGUUGAGCAGCCCCACCUAACUGUAACAGUAGUAAAAAAAAUAUAUAUAUAUAUAUAUAAAAGAAGAUGGAGAAGCUAAUAGAGAGAGAAAGAGACUUGAAAACAAGUAGAGGAGAAUAGCGGGAAUCUGAGGAGACAAUAGCUGAGUGUGAUUUCUUUAUCAUGUGGGGGAAGAAUAGGCUGAAAAUAAGGGCAGUGUGGGGUAAAGACCAGAGAGUGAAAAGGAGAAUUGACUGUCUACUCUGACUUGCAUUGGAAAGUGUUAAAAGGAUAGGUAAAACCACACCAACCUUACCCACCAUCUCCAGUAUUCCACCUUUGGGUUCUUUCAGCUCCUGUCUUCAUUUGCAAUUGCAAUACAACAGUAGCCCGCCGUAGCCCCAAACUCAAUCCCCCUUCUAUUCUAUGCUAAUGCUACCACCUAUAACUUAUGAUCCAGCCAGACUCCGUGUUUUGCAUCCUUUAAUGUCUUUUUCUGAAUUUGAAAAAAUGAUUAGCCCGACUCGCUGUUUCAAAUAAAGCAGCUGGCGCCUGGCUUUAUCGAUUCAGCAUUGUCUACGCUCUGUCUAGGUUAAAGCUAACUCUUCUUUUACCUUUUAAUUCUCAGGUCCACAUAUCAUUACAAUUAUUCCUUCCUUUCAAAUUUUCAAUACCAUCUGGAAAUAAAAAAUAGUGUAUAUAAUACUCCACAGAACAGAGCUAAUACUACGAAUAUUAUAAUUCUAUUUUGUUGUUUAAUAUAAAAAUAUUGAAAAAGGUAGAAUAUGGAACUUGAUGUAAUGCUGCCAAACCAUCACCCACUAGCAAAUUAGCAGAUAUCAGGUCUCCAGAAAGCAAACGAAAGGAAGCUCCUUUGAUUUGUUAAGUUGUAUGGUGGAGUAUCAAAUGUCAAAAAGUUUGAACCUACUCAUAAUGACUAUUGUGACCAUUGAGCCAAUAAAUUUCAUGCAAAAGAAUGAGCUAAGAAUAAGAUAGGUUAGAAUCAAGGCAACCAUCUUUUUUUGGUACAUAUGUUUGAAAUUUGAGCUUAAAAGACUGAUUUAGGGUUGUCUCUCUCCACUAUAGCCACAGACAGUCCUUAGGUUAGGGUCAAGAGCGGUUGAAUUUUGGAUCACCAUGAUUAAGUCCCAUCCACAUGCAAAUUGUUAGAAAAUGGCUUGUUUAACCUUUUUUUUUUCUAAUUUAUGGGACCGACCUAAUUCACGGACCAACUAACCAGGAUCCCAUCAAGAUCCUUAAGUUGAAGUUGACCUAAUUAAAUCUGAAGUAUGAAGGUUUUUCCUGUACCACCCCUAACCACUUUAUUUAGAUAUAUAUAAAAUAAUCUUACUCAACAGCUUAGGAAGUCAAAGUUUAAGCAACAAAUAAUGCAUUAAAUGUAGUAUUAAAUUAACAAUACAAAAAAAAAAAGAAAAAAAAACAGAGACCUAUGUGGAUAGAUGACCAACCAAAAGGUCUUGAGCAUAAGCCAUGAGGAUAAUUUAUCAAUCAAAGCAGGAGAAAAUAGGUCACUAGCCAAAGAUGUAAAACGUUCAGCAGAGACGGAAGCCAGAUGGGCUGACCGGGUGCUAAUCAGCUGCUCCAAUUAGUGAAUUCGAAAUUUAUAAUGCUUACCUUAAUAUGUACAUCCAAUUCAAUUACCUAAGAAAUAAUCAAAUGUAUAAUUGGCGGCCUCUCAAAUUUUUUUUUAAAAAAAUCCUAAGUUACAUUAUGAAAUAGGAAAUUUGAUAUUAUAUUUAGUGCAUUAUUAGUGGAAAAAAAAUUCCACAAACUCGAGUUAAAUCAUUAUAAGUGUUCUUUGAAUUAUAUUUAAAAUUUAAUCAUCUUAAUUUUGUUUGUCAAAUAAUAACCUUAUAUAUUUGAUAAAAUUUUGGGUAUAACCCUCAUUGAUAUUAAUAUAUAUUAGUUAAAUUCUUUUCUUCAAUUUUUAAUGAAUGUAUAUUUAUAUUAAUUAUUAAAUUAAUAUUAUUCAUUCCAAACAAAAAGUAAACAUUAUAAUAUUAUACAACGAUGAGUAUUUGAUAUAUUGGCGAUAUGUUUUUUUUUUAUAUUUCACAAGUAACAUGUUUUUCUUUUUCAUUUAAACAUUUAUAUUUUUAAUAUUUUACUAUACUCUUAUAGGACAUUGUCAAUCCCCUUAUCUUACUUGUGAAAUAUAAAAACUCUAGUAGUAGUGUGUCAAAUAAUCUCCCGUUGUACAAGUCUUAUGUUUUUUUAUUGUGAUAUUAAAUAAUUAUAUAUUAAUUGUAUUAAAUUUUUUGAAAGGAUUUUAAUUUUACUUUUUUGAAGGAUAAUUUUGCAAGAAAACUUGGAGUUUGUUUUGGCAAAUUUGAAAUCUUUGUGAUAAAAAUAUAUAAGAUUUUGUAAAAAUAAAUACAAAAUUAUAAAAAUAUUUAUAAAUAAAUAUUAAUUUUCUCAUUUUCUAACAUGAAAUUUAUUUAUUAAAAUAACAAUUUUAUAAAUAAAAUUAUAAUCUUAUAAAUAAAAUAAUUUAAGGGAAAACAAACCAUGAAGAAGACUUGCGCAUAUUCAACAUUUUCAUUUUUUCAACAUUAACAACUGUCAUAUUCAAGUUGGGUCAACAACUGUAAUUUGAGGUUGAAAAGGGGUGAGAAAUGAUGUCUUUAGGUUGUUCAAAAUGGAUUUGUUGCGUUUGAGGUUGUGCUUGAGGGUGGACAUUAUUGAUGGGUGUAUAGGUGAGGAUGAAGUUUUGGAGACCCAUUACGUGGAAGGCCAUGACGACAACUCCACAACCAAUUCCUAGUUCAAUGGUGUAGUGAUAGAUGACAUGAAAAUCGAAGAGUUCAGAGUAAUAAGGAUUAUUGGUGCCAGUGAUUGUGAAUGAAGGCGGUGUCCAACAUUCGGAAAAUUUGAUGAAGACUAAGGAAUAAGGUAAUAAGUCGACCCAAAGGUGAACAAGCCAUUAGAGGAACAACCCCAACAAAAACAAUCCUUGCCAGAAGUAGUAGGGAGCGGCAUUGCAAUAAUUUUAGAAGAGGUAUCUACAGGCAGGGGCAAAUCUAGAAUUUUUUUUAAGGGAGACUAGAGUUGAAUUAUAAAUUUUUAAGAGUUCAAAAUAUAGUUUUAUCAUGUAUUAAUUUAUGAUUUAGGACUUAACAGAAUUUUUUUCAUUGUUGAGGAGUGUCAAAGUACAAUUUAAGCAUAUACAUAUAUAUAUAUAUAUAUUUGAGGAGCCUGUCUACAUGUAAAUCAGAGGGGAUGAGAUUAGGAAUGGUAAGUAUCUGACUCUCAAGUGUUAGGAGAUGCUUUAAAUAGAUGUCUAGGCCUAAAAAUAUCAUGGAGUAGGUAGUUAUUUAUUUAUAUUUAAAUGAUGUUUUUGGUUUUAUUUUGUUCUUUUUAUUCACAAUAUAAUGUUGUAUGUAGAUAAAUAUUUUGUUGUUGACACAUCCGAUAUUUUUAGCUUUUUCACUUGAAUUUUUGGAGAGGAAACAUGCGAACUAAUUAUAAAUAGCACAAUUGAAAGAACAAACGAUUUAUUAAAGAGGAGAUUAUGACUAUUACACUCUGCUUGUUUCUACAAUAUGAAAACAAAAAUGAAAAUUUUUAAUGCAUGUUGCAUAUUAUACAAAAAAAAAUUUGCGAGAUGAAGCGUACAAGACUCGUUAAAAGAUGUUGAUAAAGAGUUAAAAGUGAUCUAACACUUGAAGAUGUUUGAAGAAUAUCAUAGGCGAGGUUAUUAGUCUUAAUGCAUAUAUAAAUCCUAAACAAAUGUUUGCUCCUUUUGUUUUUCAAAACACUAUAAGCUAUACAUUUCUUAAUUAUUAAAGAUGAAAUUAUAUUAUAUAGGUCAAAUAUUUGUUUUUCUUAUGUUUUAGAAAUUUUAUAAUUAUUAUUAAUUUUUUUUUAAAAAUUUUGACGCUGACUUAAAUCCAAAUAUUAAUUUAGUGAAGUGAUUUAGAGUUUGAAUUGAGAUUAAUUUGAUAUUGUUCGGUUCGAUUCAGGUUUUUGAAUUUUUUAAACCAUCUAUCAUAAUUUAGUUUGGCUCGAUUUGGUUCUUGAUUUUUUUCAUAUUAAUAUUUGAUUUUGGAUUUUUAGACUUAUUUUUGGCAAAAAUGAGUUUUUAUGUAUGGUUUUUGAAUAUUAUUUUACAAAAAUUUAAAGCCUUUUUAGAAAUAUUUCUAAAAACCAAUAAUUUUCAAGAACUUUUCAAUUAUUUUCACUAAUUUAAAUGUAAAUUAUUUAUUUUUAUAUCAUAAAAUAAUUUAAAUUAAUUAUAUAAAAAAUAAAAAAAUAAAAUUUAAUUCGGUUUCAAUUAAUUGCAAUUUUUAGUCUUGCAUUCCAAAACCGUCCAAACAUCACUAUUCGGGUCAAUUUUCUGUUUUUCUUGCUAAGCCCUAGUUGUAGUACUAUUUUUCACUUAUAAUUUAUAAGCAAUUUAUUUUUUUUAAAAUUAUUGUUAAAGCUCAAAGCUAAUUGAAAUUGAAAUUUAAGAUGAAUUUAAAUUAAUUCAAAAUUUUAAAUUUAACCUAAACCAGAAUUUGGGAAUCAGGAAUUUAAAAAUUAAUAUUUUCAAAGGCUCAAGAAUAAGUUAAGAGCCAUUAAUCCCCGUAAUUUGUUUCUUAUGGAGACAAAAUUAAGCUAAAAAAAUGGAGUUGGUAAGGUUGAAGUGUGGGUUUGAGAAUGGAAUCGAUGUUGGGGCAAUAGGCACAAGAGGUGGUUUAUCGUUGGGCUGGAAAGGGAAUACAUUAGUUCAGCUUAAAAGUUUUUCCUCGUUUCAUAUUGAUGUUGAAGUUCAUGAUAAUGAUUGUGGCGAUAUCUGGAGGUUAACGGGGUUCUAUGGGAAUCCGGAUGAAAUGAGUAGAAGAGCUUCAUGGGACCUGCUUCGACAGUUAAAUUAUGAUCAAUCUACCCCUUGGGUUAUUUUGGGUGACUUUAAUGAGAUUGCGAAUUCUUUUGAGAAGAAAGGUGGUUGCCUCCGAUCAAAUCGACAGAUGAAGGAAUUUCGUGAGGCAUUAGAUGAUUGCAGUCUUAAUGAUUUAGGCUUUAUUGGCCGGUGGUUCACAUGGGAACGAGGACGAUUUGUUUCUACAAAUAUAAGGGAACGGCUGGAUCGUGGAGUUGCUACUUUGGGUUGGGUGAAUCUGUUUCCUGGAUGUCGACUUGAACAUUUGGGUCAUUCUUUUUCCGACCAUUGCCCCCUUCUCCUAGAUUCUGAGGAGUGGUAUGGAAUAAUCAAGACAGUUUUGUGAAGCCUUUUAGGUUUGAGGCCAAAUGGUGUUUAGAUAGUUCUUUUGAGGGGAUGGUUAAAAGGUGGUGGGAUGAUAAUUCUGGAAGUGUUUUGAGCAAGUUGGAGGAACUGAUACAUCAUAUGCUCAGUUGGAGUAAGUCUACUCGUAGGAAGGAGAAGAGAAAUAGGAUUGAAUUAGAAGACAGAUUGACUAAUCUUUAUAAUCAAGAUCUUUCUGAUGAGAUUUUAGCUGAGAUUACGGAGGUCCAAUUAGGACUUAAUUGAUAAGGAAGAGUUAUUUUGGGAGCAACGUGCACGUGUGAAUUGGCUGAAGAAUGGUGAUCGAAAUACCAGCUAUUUUCAUAAGGUUGUUGUGCAACGCCAUUUUCAUGGUAGAAUUACUGAGCUGCAAGAUGAAAAUGGGGGACGGGUUAAUUCGAUUGAAGAAUUUUUACAGAUUGCUUCUAAAUAUUUUGGUAACUUUUUUUCUACUUCAGAUAUCGGUUCAGAUGAGCAUUUAUUUGGUUUAGUUGAGAAAAAAAGUUACUGACAGCAUGAAUGAUAGGUUAUUAAAGAAGUUCACCGAGGAGGAGAUUGCCUAUGUUGUUAAACUGAUGGCACCUUUGAAAGCCCCCGGUGUUGAUGGGUUUCCUACAAUCUUUUUUCAAAGGUACUGGCAUAUUAUUGGGCCGAAAGUCUCUCAAUUCUGUUUAUCUAUUCUGAAUGGACAAUCUGAGCUAGGAGAUAUCAAUAAAACGCGCAUUAUUUUGAUGUUUAAAAUUGAUAAGCCAAAAAAUAUGUCGCAUUUCAGACCCAUAAGCCUUUGUAAUGCUAUUUACAAAAUUAUUGCAAAAUUCUUGGUGAUUUGUAUGAGUGAUAUGCUGGGGAAUUGCAUUGAUGAAGCUCAAUGGGCUUUUAUCCCAGGAAGACUUAUUUCGGACAAUGUUCUAAUUACUUAUGAGGUCAUUCAUUCUUUAAAAAUGAAGAAGAGCGGCAAGAAAGGUAAUUUUGCGCUUAAACUCGAUAUGAGUAAAGCGUAUGAUCGUGUUGAAUGGGAUUUUUUUGCGGGGAUGGUGAAGCAUUUGAGUUUUCAUAUGGAUUGGAUUGUUCUCAUCAUAUGAUGCGUUUUCUCUGUUUCAUACUCGGUUAGUCUUAAUGGAUAUCAUAUCGAAUGGUUCUCUCCUUCAAGAGGGUUAUGACAAGGAGAUUCUCUUAGCCCCUAUCUGUUUUUAAUUUGUGCUGAAGGUUUUUCUACGCUUAUUCAGGAUGCUAAAAAUAAAAGAGGAUGGUGAGAGCACCUGUUGGUAGGGAGAAAUUUGCUGUUAAUUAUCUAUUUUUUACAGAUGAUUGUAUCCUAUUUAAAGAUGCCUCGUGUGAGGGAGCUGGGGUGGUUCGUGAUGUAAUUCGUGAGUAUGAGAUGGUUUCGGGGCAAUGUCUGAAUUUUGAUAAGUCCUUUAUUUAUUUCAGAGCAAAUGUAGCUUCUAGCGUUAAGGAGGAUAUUGUCAAUCUGUUAGGGGUUCGUUUGGCAUCUAACCCCGAAAAGUACUUAGGCUUGCCUAUGAUGGUGGGGAGGAAUAAAAAGUGGGCUUUUGCUAAUUUUGUGGACCGGUUCAGAAAACGGGUUAAGGGGUAGAGUUUGUGCUAUCUGUCAAUGGGGGGUAAGGAGGUCUUUAUUAAAUCGUUUUUGCAGGUGACCUCAAUUUAUGCUAUGCAAUGCUUCCUUCUGCCAAAGACGUUAUGUCGAAAGCUUGAAGGCAUUAUGAACAGGUUUUGGUGGACGAAUAAUAAAUCCUCGAAGGGCAUUCAUUGGAGCACUUGGGAAAUGUUAUGUAAUCCAAAAUGCCUUAGAGUGAUGGGCUUUAAAAACUUGUUUUUGUUUAAUAAUGCCUUAUUAGCAAAACAGGUUUGGCGCAUUUUAUCCCGGCCUCAUUGUUUUUUGGCUAAGGUUUUAAAAGCCCGUUAUUUCCCUUAUUCAGAUAUUCUAUCAGCAGUGUUCGGGAGUUGAUUGGAGAAGGGAUUUUGUGGCGGGUUGGGAAUGGUGCUCGCAUUAAUACAUGGAAUGAUCCUUGGUUACUUGGAAGGGAGAACAUUAGAAUUUCAGUUCAGGACAUUCGGCCUAAUUAGACAACGGUUAAUCAAUUAAUUAUGAAUGAGGGUUGUAAGAAAAUCUAAUAUGUCCUCUAAUGAUGAGGAUUAGAAAGGUUUCUACACAGAUUUGUGGUCAUUAAAUAUUCCUGAGAAGAUUAAAAUACACGUUUGGAGGAUGUUUAAUAAUUUGGUGCCUCACUAUUUAAAUCUGGCGCGUAGAACUUUGUGUGAGGAUGCGGUGUGCCGACUAUGUAAGGCAUAACUGAAGAAUUCUGAGCAUCAGUUGUUGUCUUGUGGUGUUCUACAGGAUGUGUGGGCUUCGUUGCAAGUUCAAACUCCUCAUUUUGAAGAUUCGCUGGAUCACAAGAUUUGCUUUGUUAGAACAUUUUUUGAAGCAGAUGGCCGACAAAAACGACUCAUUGCUAUCUCUUUAUGGGGUCUUUGGUUUCAUAGAAAUAAAUUGGUGCAUGAAGGAGUAAAAUUUUCGAGGCAAAAAUUAUUGGGGUUCAUUCGAGGUUAUGAACAAGAUCUUUGUUUAUUUCAUGAGAACCUCUGUCCUAUUACUGGUUCUUAGGUUAAGGAGCUUUGGAAGCCUCCUGACUUUAGAAUCAUUAAGCUUAAUUUUGAUGCGUCUUUCAUUCAAGAAAAGAAACUUGCUACAACAGCGGUUUUAGCUAAAGAUUACAAAGGAGAAGUUGUUGGGGCAGAAACUUAUCUAUUUGAAGAUGCUGUUGACGCAUUUAUGGCAGAGGCACGAGCUUGUGAAAGGGCUUUAAUCUUCACGAGUAUGAUGUGUUUUAGACGGAUGGUUGUGGAAGGUGAUUCUCUAUCUGUCAUAAAAAAUAUUAGGAAAAAGGAGGCAGAUAAAUCGGUUCUCAGGCCGAUUACUCAUCAUAUUCAUUAGUUGGAUAUGCUUUUUGAUGAGGUUACUUACAAUUUCAUGCCUCGUGCGGUUAAUGAUGCGGCUCAUGUUUUGGCGUUGGAAGGUCGGAGAAGAAGAGUAUGUGGGAGCUGGGUUAAUGGCGUACCUGAUUCGAUGCGGAUUGUGAUGAUGAAUGACCGUUUGGCUUGGAAUCAGAGGGUCUAGGGUUCAUGCAGUUUUGCUUUGAAUUUGGAGAAGGUUCAUCGAAUCUCCAGUUGUAUUCAAAGCCUUGCUUUCUCCUUUGGCUAGUCUUUGUUGCAGAUAUUGUGGAGAGCUUUUCUGGCUGAUUGUGGGUUAUGAAGAGACGCGGUUGCUGGCUCAUGUGUUUUAUUUUUUUCUCUGUUUAUUUGGUCGAUAUUCUCUAGGAUUUUUAUUGCUUUAGGCUGGGCAACUGUUUUGUUGCUUUGGUUUUGUCGUUUCUUUUUAGGUGUUGUGUUUGGAGGCUUCUCAGCUUCUUUUUUUCCUUGAGUCGUGGGUCAAUAAAAAUCAACCUGUUUUUAUAAAAAAAAUCAAUAUUUUCAAAUCUAAGAUUUUGAAAUAUAAAUCCAAAUCCAAAUGUAAGUUUUCCGAAAAGAGUUGUUUAAUAACUUGAUAUUUGGAUUAAAUAAACAAUUGAAAUAUUUUUAUUGAUAUAUAAUCAAAUACACCCCUUAAAAACCAUUUGAAAUGCGAAAUCUUUAUUUGAUAAAAAAAUUAAUUUAUUGAAAAUUAAUAUUUUUAAUAGUUUAAAACAUAUGUUUGAUAACAUAUAUAAAAAACUAUUUGAAAAAGAUAAAUAAAUAAACAAUGACUUAUUACUUA
This 63833-nucleotide long non-coding RNA is filed under the name Gossypium barbadense (sea-island cotton). RNAcentral's name for it is "long non-coding RNA (GBAR_LNC021947)". The record is from RNAcentral. Lineage: Eukaryota; Viridiplantae; Streptophyta; Magnoliopsida; Malvales; Malvaceae.